This 66962-nucleotide long non-coding RNA is filed under the name Capsicum annuum. RNAcentral describes it as "long non-coding RNA (CANN_LNC012701)". The record is from RNAcentral. Lineage: Eukaryota; Viridiplantae; Streptophyta; Magnoliopsida; Solanales; Solanaceae.
UGGAAUUAAUAUUUAGCAUAAUUAAACCAACUAAAGUCUAAAAACUAAAAUAAUUUAAUCUUAAAAUUCAAACCAACAAGUGCUAUGUAUUUCUAUCACACAUAUUGAUCUACAAUUUCAUAUCUUCAUGAACUGUAAUAGUUAAUUCAAUUAAGAGAGAAUUGGGGGUAGAAAAAUAGAAUAAUGAACGUGAAUAAGGAAAGGAGAAUAUUGAGGGACGAAAGAGAGGAUAAUGAGGCAUGAAAUAUGUUGCAUUCUAUUUUUAAACCUGUUAAUGUAAUAGAAAUCUCUACAUUAAAGGUUAUUAAUCUGUACCAUAUAUACUUGACCUAUAUACAUUUAACCCAUAAUUAAUACCUAACUAAUAACUAUAGAUUAUAAUUAUGAUAAGUUAACUAUGACAUUAGCUAAGUGGGGUAAACACUGUAUAUUUGUUUUACCUUUUUUUGGGGUCAAAAAGGGCUUUUAUUAGAAACUAUUUAUAUAAAGCAAAAAGGACCAAAAGCCUAAGGGGUUCGGAAACCCAAAUCCAAAAAGGCAAGGGAAAAUACAAAAAUAAUAAAAUAAAAAAAAGGAAAGAUCUAGAAACUUUUCUUAAGGAAAGAGAAAAUUAAAAAGGAAAGAGAGAUAAUCUCUUCAUCUUCUUCGGUGAUUCACCUAACAAUGCUUUACCAUCGAUGACUUGAAGAGCUCCAACAAUAGUAUAGAAGCCAAGAUCACCCUUCAACGAAGAUGGAACUAGACAUGUGACCCAUCGGGUUUGGGUGUAUUUCGCAUAAGACAUUAAUAAAUCUCACCAAUGCUAUGAAAUGCAUUCUAACAAAGAAUUCUUUACCCGAUAUUAGCAUGUCUAGCCAAAGUCAUGAAGAUAAGACCCUUAUCUUCUAUUCUUAAGCCUAUAAAGAUCAUAAAAUUGAUGAAUUUAACUUCUAUUUCCUUUUGUUAGCAGGUUGAGCCCAUAAAGGACUAAUACCACUACUAAAUAAAGGAGAAAUAAAAGGUCUAUUCUCAACUCUCUCUAUAAUCUAACUUUUUCUUUUGUGUAGCUGAAACUUCAAAAUUUUUACACCUGUUAUAGUAUUUACUGAAAAAUUGUCACUUUAUAAUCCUUGUGGUAUUGGUACAAAACAAUUUUACACGGUAUUUUGCACCUCAAAAUUAUUUUUGACACUGUGAUUCUGAGAUUGGGAAUUUUAUUUUUUCAUUUUAAUAAUGACUUUGCCUUCAACUGAUAAUUUUUGCUGUGAAUUAUAAAUUAUACUUUGUGAACCAGUAAAAAAGAAAACUUGGUUAGCAAAAAAGUUUGCAAGCAUGUUUCCUUCCCUGAGGGUAUGUUCUACUUCCACAUUAACUAUAUCUCUUGUGAUAUUAACCCUAUUUACCUCUAUGGCAAUGUUUCAAGGAACUCAUCAAAUCCAUCUAAAACCUUCUUUAAAGAAUCACCCUCUAGAGUUAAAGAAAGUAGGUCAUGGAGAUAUAGUACUCCAGACCACUCUUAACGCAAUUGAUUCAGCAUCUAAACUUGUUCCAUCACCCAAACUAUUAGUUUUUGCAUAGACAAAGUCUCCUUCUCCAUUCCUUAUGCAGAAAGAAUAGGCCUCAAACUACGAUUUUAUUUUGCUGCUCUAUCAGAGUUUUAUUUAAAUCCUUCCUUCAUAGGCAGUUUCGACACCACUACCUUAUAAUCAAUAAAAGGGGUAUAUCUUCAAAUAACCUCCUAAUUAUGGACUAAUUAUUGGGUGUAUGCUUCAACUAAGGGUACCAAGUGAUAGAAAGCCUAUGAAAUUCUUUUUAACCUAUAUUAGCAUACUAUACAACAACAACAACAAAAUCAACAGAUCCAAUAUAUUUCCACAAUAAAUAAAUAUAUUAUCCCUUAUAUUUAAUUAUGUUUCUCCUCUCCCAUAUCUGUCAGAGAAAAAAAACAGAUAGUGUAAAGAGGUAAAAACUUACCUAUGCAGUCAACUUUCCACCAUUUAAAAAUAUAACAUUUAAGUUUUAUAAGUGGACAUGUAAACCAACAGCUGCAACAAUGACUUCCCAUAUUAUAAUAGAUGCAUGACAAGUUAUAAAAGAUGUUCAAAAGAUUCAUGAGCAUAUGUAUCACUACAACAACACAAAACUUCAUUAGUAAAACCUAUCUUCACUAGAUUUCCCUAAUACAGAUCCUUUCUUUCCAUAACCUCUAUAAAAAGUAAGAAACCUUGAAAGAAAGUACUCUUUCCUAUACAUAUUUGAGUUCUUUAUGAUAAGUUCAUGUAUCUCUCACCAACUUCCAUGCAGUGCUGAUGGUAAAAUUUCCUAAGCUAUGAAGUAUACACCAUGGUUUAUUCCAUUCCUCUAUGACCUAAAAUUGUACAAAUGUUUUGGCAAUAUGAUUGCAUACAUCCACUAGCAGAGCUUGUUGCAUUAGAUUGUCAUUCCAUCUUCCCUGUAUCAAAAGUAGACUUACAUCUUCUAAAGCAAAAUUACUAUUAAAUAAAAUAUGUAAAUAAUAAUAUAGAGCUUCAAGUACAGUCCAGUUGUCAAGACAAAGAGUAGAAUAGCCAUAUUUUGGUUUCACCAAAUUUCUUGAUUAAUGUAAUCCUUAACCAGGAGCAUAUGUUUCUAGGUUUGUGAACUCCCUCCGUGUUCUACCAUAUAAAGUUUGUUCACAAUGUUUUCUUGAUUUUAAAAUCCACCACAACUUAGCAGACAAAGGUUUGGACACAUCAAACCAGGAUGUAAAUUUCAAACCCCCUUUAUUUUUGGCAAACAAAUCUCCUUCCAUGACACCAAAUGCUUAUUUCUUCCUCCCUCUUUAAAAUUCUAUAAAACCCUUGCAAAAGUUAUAUGAAUAUCAUGUAUGAUAUAUUUAGGAGUAAUAAUAGCAGAUGACAUAUAUAGGGAUACUUUAUAAAACAUUAUUAAUCAAAACUGGUUUACUCCUAAAAGAAAAGAGCUUUCCUUUCCAGACCUGUAAUUUGUUUCGAACUUCCUUCAAAAGCUAUGAAAAAUGAUUCUUCCUUUUUAAACACGUCCAAUUGGUCUAAGCAUGUCAGAAUAAAUUUAUAUGUCAAAGGAGUUUUAUCCUUUGAAAAACCAUUAGGCUUAUCCAUUGUUUAAAUACUGGCAUGUAGCCCUAUAAUACACACAAAAAAGAAACGCACUUCUUUGUUUAUUUUCUAACCUGAUUGCUUCUCAUACACUCCUAGAGUUUCUAUAAUCAACUACAAGAUUUGCUUAUCAGAAAUAAAAACAAUAAUGGUUUCAUCAAUAUAAGUAAGACGAUUAAUACUUUUACUGUAUUUAGGCAUACCAAAACUUUUUAACUCUCUAUGAAGAAACAAAUUAUUAAGAGAUCUAGAAAACACUUUAGCAGCAAGGAUAAAAACUGCAGGACAGAGGAUCUCCUUGUUAAAACCUCUUAGAAGAGUGAAAAACCAUGUGCCUGUCAACUAAUGAGAAUAGUUUACCAGUUAUUAGCCACCAACCUAUAAACCUUACUAACAAGCAGGUUUUUAGAGCCCAUUUUUCUAAUACCUAAAUGGAACACCUCUAGUUUUUGGUCCGUGAUAAUUUCUAAAAUUUAUCUUCACUGCCUUGACUAUGAAUCAUUCUAAGAGUCAUAGGGUAUCUUGAUGGGUCACAUAACCCUAGUUGUAAGGUGUCUAGUGAAUGUUGCUUGAGCUUCUGUCCUAAGUAUGACUUGGAUACACGAGUCAUUGGACUCAAAUCGUAAUGAAAUUAGUAAGUGUGUAAUUGAGUUCUGCUUUGGGUAUGAGUGACACACUAAGAGCCAUAAGGACUUACUAUGAGUUAUUGGAUACAAAUUGUAGGAUGUCAAGUGUGUAACCCAAAUGGGUUCUGUGUUGACUACGACUGGACUCUAUAAAUUGUAAGGUCCCAUUAUGAGUCGUAGUAGUAGAGUCAUAGGGUCAACAGAUUUUGAGUGCCUUGGAUACUAUCUUGUCUACAACGUGAUGACAAGUCGUAAUGAGUCCCUACGAGUCGUAUAAUGACCCAUAGUCACUAACGACUAAAUUUCAGUUUUAAACUAGGGGAACUUUGGACAAUUCCUUUCUCACCCAAGUAGAACCCCACAUUCACAAGGCACUUAAGAGGCAUUAUUUAUCAUUCAUAACAUACUCAAAAACUUCUAAAGAUCUCUCAAGUCUCUCAAGCAACCAUACUUAGGGUUUCUAAGAAGUAGGUCAUCCAACGACUCAAAAGGUUGAAUUAUUUCAUGAAACUUGGUAUUUCAAGCAUGUUACUCUUUCCUAAUUGCUAAUUUCUUAAAAUUAUAUGAUUUAAUGGGUUUUUCAUGAGAUGUUGAUGUUGGUUUGAAACAAGGGUUGAGGGUUUUCAGUUCUUAUUGAUUGAACAAUGGUUCCCAUGGAUUACAUAUGAUUAUUCAUAAUUUAAUUUUAGUUUUUAAACUUGUGGGUGUAUGGGUAUGGUAAAUAAACAAGGGAAUUAUGAUUUCCCCAAACUCAAGUGAUUAUGACCUCAACCCUAUAUUGUGAAAUUUAUUUUGAAUAUGAAAAGUAUGCAUAUUGAACUACUCUUGAACUAUUGCAAAUGUGAAAAGUCAACGAAGUGUAAUAAUUUGAAAUUAAACCUUAAAUGGUUGUGUAAUUCCCCAAGCUAAUGUUUAAUUGAACCAACGGGGUUGUGAAGUCCCCCAAGUGAUGUAGGUGGUUUGGUAUAUUGAUGUUACCUAGCAAGUGUAGUUGGUAUGAUGAUACUAAUAAUGUUUUCCUUAAUGUGCAAUGUGGUUCAAUGAAUGAGAAUGCGUGAUAAAUGAUUUAAUUAGGCUUUAAUGAGAGUUGUGUAGCUGAGUAGUAAAAGUUGAGGUUUUAAGGGACCAAUACUGGAAACGACAAUUGUCGAUGUGGGGGUCUAUAUGACCGGGUUGUUUUAGUCUCCCUUAUUAUUAUCAUUUGAUCAGGAGGUUUGACUCUCUCAUAUUAUAUUACAUGAUUGGGUGUUUGUGUUACCUUAAUAUGUCGGGAGGUUCAAGUUCCCCAUUGUGCAUAUGCAUACCCUCUGUUUAUGUGGCCACAUGCACUAGGGCCCUACCAGUUGAGAGAGAGAUAUGCCUAUAAAGCCAAUGGGCACCUUCUUAUAUAAUGACGGUUGAGCGACAUAUAUUUAUGUCGGCAUUUGAUAUAUAUUUAUGUAUAUGCAUUUGAUUAUGUCCAUUGUUUUUGAACAAUUUUGAAUUGUUGAUAAAGACAUUACAUUAUCCUUACCCCUGAGUUACAUGCUAGUUUUCACCUCACUAACCAUCUUCGAAUGCUAUAUCACCACGUAAUAUAGGCACCAAAGAUACCUCUACUUUUCUUGCAUAGAGAUUGGUGGAUCGACUCGAUUUAUUAGUUCAUUGUGGUGAACUAGUGAGCUUCCAUUCUCUAAAAGACUUAGACAUUUCAUUAGUUCUUAUCAUAGAUUAGAAUUGAGAGUUUUCAUUAUCAUUAACAUUAUCAUUGUUAUUGUCCGAGUUAAGGACAUGUCCCGACCAAGAAUGGUUUUGGUUUUUGUGUUAGAAGGCUUUGUUGGAUUAUUAUGAACUUGGGUGAUGUUUGUCGGUUGUUUAGCCAGUUACUGGUUAUUGGUCAUAGACUUAUCUUUUAUUCUUUAAUAUUACCUUGUGUUAUGUUGUUAUAAGUUUUUGGAAUUCAUCCGACAUUGGGGAUGUUAUGUUCACUGGGUUAGGUGCAGGGGGUGGUCUCUAGUCUAUGUGGGACUUGGGAUGCCAGUCAUGGUCAGGCCCUUGUUUGGGUCGUGAUAAAAAUGGUAUCAGAGCCUAGGUUUGAUGUCAUUAGGAGUCCACAAAGUUGUGUUAAGUAGUCUUUUUUAUGGAUCUAUAGCACGCCAUACUUAUAGGGAAGAGGUUAUGAGGCAUUUAGAAAUAUUUUUCUUUCUUAUUGUUCUAUUUCGAGCUAUAGAGUCUAGUGUUUUGAAUCUCCUUUAAUUCCCAUCUGUUCGCUUUUUAGAUCAUGCCUCCCCGAAGAUUUGAUGUUUAGGGAAACUCUUCUGUCUUCUCAAGGAGAAUAUAGAUGGAGCCCCUUUUACUCUUGAGUUCAAACCCAGUCUAGGGUUACUCUUGAUGUGUCUAAUGUUGACUUUUGCCAUUCGAUUAAUUUGCUUACCCAGUUGGUGGCCUCCUAGACUGACCGGGUUACUUCUAUUGCUUCAUUCUCCAAGGACACUAGAGUUGGCAAAUUUAUGAGGUUGAGUCCUGCUAUUUUCACUGGUACUAGAGUUAAGAAAGAUACUCAAAAUUUCAUUAAUGAGAUGCAAAAGAUCUUUUGUGUGAUGCAUGAUAUGGAUGUGGAGGGUGUAGAGUUCGCAACUUAUUAGUUGAAGGAUGUAGCAUACCAAUGGUAUAAAGAGUAGGAGCCAUUAGGGGUGAUGAUGUUGAGUUCUCUUUGUGGUAUGACUUCUUUAGUGAUUUUCUUGAUUGCUUCUUUCCUCAAGAGUUGAGGGAGGUUAAGGAUGAGGAAUUCAUAAAUUUAAAGCAAGGCAGUAUAACAGUAAAAGAGUAUGACUUAAAGUUUCAUUUGUUGUCAUGUUAGGCCCCCGAGUUGGUAUCUAGUAUAAGGGUUAGAAUGAGGAAUUUUUCCUUUGGAUCAUCUCGUGAGUUAAUCUUGGAGAACAAGGCUUCCUUGUUGAACAAGGAUAUAGACAUCUCUAGAAUUAUGGUGUAUAUGCAAUAAGUAGAAGAGGAAAAGAAGAAGCAAACAGAGAUAAGUGAAAGGCAGAAUAAGAAUUUUUAAUAUUCAGAUUAGGGUAAAGGUCAGCAGUAGAGUGGUAGAGACGGUAGAAAGUGGUCUAAGAAUAAGUGGGGCAAUUUUUGUUCCUACUCUAUGCCUAGUGCUCCUUAUCCAAAGUCGUUGGGUGACCAUCAUUCUCAGUUUGAUAGUGGGUUUAGAGCACUAGGAGCCUAGCCUCAGGCUAGAGGGGCUCAGUUAGCUCCAUCGUAUCCUUUUUAUAGAUUUUGUGGUCAGGUGCACCAUGGUAUUUGUGAAAAAGGGGAACAAAUGUUUUAAAUGUGGACAAAUUAGUCAUAUGCAGAGGGAUUGUCCUUCUAGGGCUGCUUUUGGGGAAAAAAAAUUCUUGUUGCUUCCUCAUCAACUCCUACGCCAGAGAGUGCUACUUCUGUUUCUGUCUCAGGCGCUAGUAGGAACCAUCUGUAUGCUCUUGCCACCUGUCAGGCUUCUGAAGCAUCGCCUGAUAUUGUUACUGGUAUGAUCAAACUCUUCUCUCAUGAUAUAUAUUGUCUACUUUAUCUUGGGUCUACCCUCUCUUAUGUGACCCCUUAUGUGGCUAUCUAUUUUUGUUUUAACACUGAGUAUGUUUUGAACCCCUUUUCUGUGUCCACCCCAGUGGGUAACUCCAUUAUGGCUAGAAGGGUUUAUAGGGGUUGUGUGAUAUUGGUCUAUGUUAGAGAGACCUUAGUAGACCUAAUAGAGUUGGACAUGUUAGACUUUGAUAUGUUUUUGGGGAUGGAUUGGUUGCAUUCAUAUUAUGCGUCUCUUGAAUGUCGGACUCAAAGGGUCAGUUUCUAUUUCCCUAAUUAGUCGGGGAUUGAAUGGGAAUGUAAAUACCUAAUACCUAAGGGAAGGUUUAUUUUGUAUCUUAGAGCACGAAAAUUGGUUUCUAAAGGGUUCCUCAAUCACUUAGUACAUGUUAAGGAUUUUAGAACCGAAAGUCCUUUUUGCAGACUAUCCCUACAGCCUGUAAAUUUUUUGAGGUGUUUUCUAAUGAUCUUCUUAGUAUUCUCCCGAUAGGGAAAUUGAUUUUGGGAUUGAUCUUCUUCCGGAUACUCAUCCUGUUUCUAUUUCUCCUAAUAGAAUGGCUCUAGCUAUGUUGAAAGGACUCAAGGAGUAGUUGAAAGAUCUUUUGUAUAAGGGUUUUAUCCACCCUAGUAUGUCUUCGUAGGGUACUCUUGUUCUUUUCAUGCAUAAGAAGGAUAGGUCCCAUUGGUUGUGUUUACCACAAAUUGAAUAAGGUGACUGUGAGGAAUAAGUAUCCCUUUUCAAAGAUUGUUGAUCGGUUUAGUAAAUUUCAGGGUGCUAAGUUCUUUUCUAAGAUUAACCUUCGGCUAAGUUAUGAAUCAGAUUUUUUGUCAGUUCUUAGAUUUGUACAUGAUUUUCUUUAUUGAUAACAUUUUGGUAUAUUCUAAGAGCGAGGCGGAUCAUAACGAUCACCUUCGCAUAGUGUUGCAGAUCCUUAAGGAGCAACAUUUGUAUCUUAAAUUCUCUAAGUAUGAGCUUUGGUUAAAUAUUGUGACUUAUCUAGGUCUUGUUGUUUCUAGUAAAGGGAUCAUGGUAUAUCCACAAAAGGUUGUGGUGGUUAAGAAGAAUCCUAGACACACGACUCCAAUCGAUAUUCAGAGCUUCUUGGGUUUAUUUGAUUAUUAUAGAAGGUUUGUGGAAAGUUUUUCUUCUAUUGCUACCCCAUUGAUUAAGUUGACAUAGAAGAAGGUGAAAUUCUUAUAGUCUGAUACUUGUGAGGGUAGUUUUGAGAAGUUGAAGGACAAGUUAACUUCGACUCUGGUUUUGACUCUGCCUGAGGGCACUGAUGGUUUUAUGGUUUAUUAUGAUGUAUCUUGAGUGGGACUGGAAUGUGUAUUGAUACAAUAUGGCAAGGUAGUUGCUUAUUCAUCUCGAUAAUUAAAAGUCCAUGAGAGGAAUGACCCAACUCAUGAUUUGGAGUUGUUAGCUGUGAUGUUUGCAUUAAAGAUCUGGCGACAUUAUUUAUAUGGGUCUGUGUUGAUAUUUAUUCUAUUCAUAAGAUCCUAAAAUAUGUGUUCACUCAUAAGAAGCUAAAUCUCAGGCAAAUGAGAUGGCUUGAGUUGCUUAAGGACCAUGACAUAAGUCUUUACUAUCAUCCACGUAAAGGUAUCGUGGUUGCUAAUGCUCUUAGCAAGUUGUCCAUAGGAAUUUUAUAUCAUGUAGACGAAGAGAAACGGGAUUUGCUGAAGGAUAUUCACCGCUUGGCUAAUCUAAGAGUCCUCUUAGAUUUAGAGAAUAGUGGUGUGAUUAUUCAAGAGGCGACAAAGUCAUCUCUUGGUGUGGAGGUGAAGGAGAAACAAAUGUUGGAAUCUAUUUUGAUACAAAUUAAGAAUGAUGUAGGAAGGAAAAAGGUAAUGAUUUUUUAGAUCGGUGAUGAUUGUAUUUUGAGGUACCAAGGUUGAUUAUAUGUUCUCGAUUUGGAUGGGUUGCAAGGAAGAAUUUUUGCCAAAGAUCAUGAGUCUUAUUAUACUAUACAUCUGGUUCGAUGAAAAUGUAUCAUGACCUUAAAGAGAUUUAUUGGUGGAAUAACAUCAAUAGGGAUGUGUCUAAUUUUAUGGCUAAGUGCAUGGAGUGUCUGCAACUGAAGGUGGAGCACUUGUAGCUCGGUCGAUUAACUUAAGAAAUUGAGCUGCCGAUAUGGAAAUGGGAGAUAAUAAAUAUGGAUUAUGUUACCAGUCUUCUAUGGUCUUGCCAAUAAUUUGAUUUGAUUUGGGUCAUCGUGGAUAGGAUGACUAAGUCUGCUCACUUCUUGCCAGUGAGGACUAGUUUCUCUUCUGAGGAUUAUGCCAAGUUGUUCAUUGAGAUGAUCGUGAAGUUGUAUGGUACUCCAGUUUCCAUAUUAUCUGAUCAAGGUACACAGUUCUCAUCUCACUUUUGGAGGUCGUUUAAGAAAGAUUUGGGGAUUAACGUCACCCUUAGUACAGCUAUCCACCUGCAGAUGGAUGGGUAAGCAGAACAGAGAAUUUUGCCUUUGUAAGAUAUGCUUCGUUCUUGUGUAAUUGAUUUAGGUGGUACUUGGAUUGACCACUUGCCUCUUUUUGAAUUUUCCUAUAACAAUAGUUAUCACUCUAGUAUUGGUGAUCACCUAUCCAGACUUGAGGGUGAUCAAGCGGUCAAGGAUGAGUUUGAAAUUGAUGAUACAUUUUUGAAUGAGAAGGUCUUAGCUGCUGCACUUGAAAGAGUGCCUUGGUAUGCUGACUUUGUAAAUUAUAUGGUAAGUGAAUUCAAUCUCGGAGAAUCUAUCUUUUCAUCAAAAGAAGAAGUUCCUACAUGAUGUUACACACUACUUCUGGGAUGAUUUAUUUCAGAGGUGCGCAGAUAAUAUUAUCAGACGGUGUAUUCCAGAGGUGGACAUGUUGAAUAUCCUAGAAGCUUGUCAUCCUUCUUUGGUUGGGGGUCACUAUGAUGGUGACCGUAAUGCCAAACGUUUAUUAUUGGCCGACCUUAUUCAAAGAUGCCUAUCAGUUCAUGCGAAGAUAUGAUCAUUACAAGAGACAAGGGUCGCUCUCAAAGCACCAUGAGAUGCCUAUGACAAAAAUGAUGGAAUUUGAGUUCGAUGAAUGGGGCAUUGAUUUCAUGGGGCCCUUUGUGAGCUCUUAUGGGUUGAAAUACAUAUUGGUCGCCAUUGAUUAUGUGUCAAAAAGGGUUAAAGCUAUCGCUUUAGAUGAUAAUGAAGAAAAUAGAGUGGUUGCAUUCCUUAAAAAGAAUAUCUUUUUUUGCUUUGGGGUACCACUUACCAUCAUAAGUGAUGGUUGAUCACAUUUUUGUAACCAAGUGUUCCGGGUUGCCUUAACAAAAUACGGUGUUAAGCAACACGAGGUGGCAACUCUAUACCACCCAUAAACUAGUGGGCAAGUGGAGGUUUCAAACUGGGAGAUUAAGGAAAUAUUAGCCAAGAUAGUGAACACGAGCAGGAGUGAUUGGUCUCAAAAGCUCGAUGAUGCCUUGUGGGAAUAUCAAACAGCUUUCAAGACACCUAUUGGGAUGUUGACGUAUCAGCUGGUUUAUAGCAAUGCAUGUCACCUUCCGAUUAAGCUGGAACACAAGGCUUUGUGGUCACUCAAGCGGUUGAAUCUAGAUUGGAAGGAAGUAGCAGAAUUAAGAUUGGGGCACCUGAAUGAAAUGGAUGAAUUCUAUCUCGGUGCUUAUGAGAGAGUUGAUCUGUAUAAAGAAAGAAUGAGAAAGUACCACAAUCGAAGAAUCGAAAAGCUUGAUUUUCAAGUAGGAGAUUGGGUAUUACUAUUUAACUCCAAAAUCAAGCUCGUCUCAUGUAAACUCAAAUCUAAGUGGUAUGGCCCUUUCAAAGUCACCCAAAUCUAUUCAUCUGGAGUAAUCGAACUUGAAUAUAAUGAUGGAAGUGUCUUUAAAGUGAACGGGCAGCAUGUUAAGCAAUACAUUGGUCCUAUGAACUCGGUGAAAUAUUAAAGUAUAGUUUAUCUUAAUGAAGUCUGAGUAAUCAUGAAAACUGAGUCGUGCCACGAUAAUAAAUCAGGUGCUAAUGGGAGGCAACCCAUAAAGUAUUGUUGUAACCAUAGUUAGAGUUUGUUUGUUGUUUUGUGCAAUUUGAUGUUUUUGUGAAGUGUACAGAACUGAGAAUGCAGAAAGAAAGGAUUUUCUCUAGUUGAAAAUGGGUGAUGGGAAGGCUUAUGGACUGUCAAGGCCUCGACGAACCAUCAAUGGAACCGUCAAAUCCAUAGCUAAGAACUAGAGAUUCUGGAUAAGGCCUGAUGGUCAAAAUGAUGGAUCAUCAGGGUACCGACGGACCAUCAAGGCCACUGUCAACCUUAAACUCAAAUUUGAAGUUUAUGUAUUGGACUGACAGAAUGCUCGACGAAUCUUCGCAUUACUGACGGACUGUCGGAGCAACCGUCGUAGCAAGGUAGGCUUGAGAUGAUUCUAGUAAGUUAUGACGGUUAGCUCGACGGACUGUCGGAGCCCUGACGGACCAUGAGGUCAACCAUCAAACUAACCCUAGAUGACGGGUUGGGUCAGUUAAAUUUUGAGGCCUAUUUAAUUAUCUUUAUCUGACCCAAACAAUUUUAAAGAGAUAAAAAGAAGCGGUUUCAUACGUUUCCACCCUUUCAGAUCCUAAAAUUGUUUAACUUCUUCUAUAUUCAAAGUACCUAGUAUCAGUUAUCUCUACUUAGGACUCUCUCUCUUCUUUUUCUCUCCUAUUUAAACGACCCCAUCCCUCUUUUUCUCACAUCAGAUAACAAGUUAACAAUCUCUAAUAGAGGCUUUGAGUUUAUUUUAUUCCAAGUUUGCAAGUCAGAAUAGUCAAGUUUACUGCAACAUCAAGAUAUGAUCACAACCUUACUCUUCUUUUUGAAUCGAUAAACUUGUGUUAUGGAAGUUGUUGGUUGUUUGAAAGGAAUUCCAUCUUAUUUCUAUUUUGUGUCAAUCUAAUUCUAAGUCAAACCUUGCUAUGCAUUAUUCUGGGUGAAGUCUGAGUAACUCAUGAAUCAAAAGUGUCAAAAAUUUGUUCUUAAAUACUAAAUUAAGGCCAAAAUUAUACAAAUCAUUAGUGACAGCACACUAGGUGUUCGACAAAAUGUCAAGGUGAAGUUUGAGGGUAAAAAGUGUUGUUGACGGUCACCUUGACGGACCGUCUAGUAGACUGUUGCAAUGGCAUUGAAUCUAAAGUUUAAUGGUUAAGUAGCGAUGGAAAACUUGGCGGACUUUCAGUAACCUAAUGGACCGCCGAGUUGAUCGUCGCAAGGCUCUGAGAUGCAGGACAUACUGGUUAAGUCCUGACGGUAAGUUCAGUGGACCAUCACAGUCUCGACGGACCGUCAAAUUUUUCUUCAAGUGAAAAUUUCACUAUUUUUACUUGUUUUUUGAAUUACAAAUUGAUUUCGUGUUCUUUUCUUAGGCAAUAUGGUAUGAAAACUACCCAUAACCAGAGGUGGCCAUAGAGCACAAAUGGGAAGGGAGAAGCCAUCAGGAGUGAGGAGGCACUUGCCUUCAAUACUCGACAAUGAGACAGAGUACCUCAUACACUCUCCUAGUCUAAAGAGAAAAGUGAUAGCACCACUAGCAGCACAAUGAGGAAUGGGUCAACACAUCUAACCCUAACCUAGUCGAGGCAUCAGAGGCUGAGGAUGCCAAUGUGAUCAAGAGCAAAGACCCUCAAACAAGGGAAACAAUUAGGUGGACAGUUAAAGGUGCAAAGGAUAAAUACCUUGAUGGCUUAGAACCAAUUGAAACUAAGCCAAUUAAGAGGCCAAUCGCUGAAGAGUAUCAGAUAGUGACCUCCAAGUUGCAUGAGUAUCCAAAAAUUGAGUGGUAAUUCAAUGAAUACAAGCUAGCAUGGAUGAGCAAACCACUGAGGGCAUAUUAACCGACUAUUUUACGGGAUUUUUUCGUCAAUUAUUUGGCAGAGGCUGAGAAAGACUAUCCCAAGGGCUAAAAAAUUUUAGAUCUUCCCAACAGGAAAUCAGUUUUGGUUAGAGGGGUUACUAUUAACAAAUUGGCCUGUACAAUAAAUAGGAUACUAUUUGGCCCCUACUAUGAGGCACCGACUGUAUUUCCAAAGCUUGAGCAUCGCAUGACCAUGGCUUUCACUCAAAAACCUUAGUUGGCGAGGCUCCUUACUGAUGAAGAAAACCUUUCCUAGGAACUCAACCCGCGGGAGUGCAUUGCUAAGUCUUCUCUUAGCUUACGGGCUAUGUUUUGGUGGGCCAUUAUUUGAUUAAAGCUGAUGAUGAUAGGUGGAGAUGCUAAUUUGGAAAGUCAUAAAGCUGUGUUGGUGGCUAUUCUGAUUUCUGGGCUAAAGAUUAAUUUUGGCCAGAUUAUUGCAGAUGAGAUAUUUGUUCGAGCCUAUAAACUAACAAGCACUUUAUCAUUUCUAUGUUUGAUCACGGAAUUAUGCAGGCAGGCAAAUAUACCUUUGAUUUGAGAAGGUGAUAGUAAAGUUCGGGCUACUCAUAGGUAGGACAUUGAAAAAUUCAAGGAUGAAUCAAAGUUUGAAAUGCGAGUCAAUAAACCUCCUACUUAUCAGAUGUAGUCAGCGGCAGCCCCCAAUACUUUCGAGAUCCCUACAGGUAUGCCAUUGCCUAUCACCACUUAUGUGCCACCCAAUUAUGUGCCACCAAGUACUUCUGCAGGUUCUGCAUCGAUGUCACAAAUGGGUGGGACUUCAGACAUAAUAUCUGUCCCACCCUAAUCUUCGAAGUAUAAGUUAACAUAGGAAAAUUUUGCCAAGUUUGUUAAACUACAAAAAAAGUUCCAGAAGCAGCUAGACACAUGGGCUUCAUAAUUCAAGCCCUUUGUUGACCAUAUUAUAGCUGAGGCAAUCCAUCCCUUUAAAAAUAUUUAGACCAGGAUGGACCAUAUGGAGGAGCGUGUCAACAAAAGGCUCGAUGUGAUGUCUAUCCCAGAUAGAAGCUAAGUUCAUGGCAGAAUUCAAACAAGCACAGGCGGACAUAGCAAAGCUGAAGAGCCAACAACCACAUCAGCCCAUUUUUAACCCUGCUUUAGUUAUUAGUGAUAAAGAUUAGGGCAUUGUUGACUUGAUGGGGAUGCCUCUCAAGUACAAAGGCAAGAAUGUAGAUGAAAGUGAGGAUAGGAAAGCUAUCAAAAGAAGAAGGUGUAAAGAAAUGAUACUAGAAGAACAAGAAGCGAGAGAUAUGAGGAAGGCUGCAAAGAGAUCAAACAGAGAUAAAGAGAAUAGAUAGAAAAAGCUUAUAGAUAAAGUUGCAUGAGUUUCCACUAGUACUUCCCCAACUAGGGGGCUCAGUUUAAACCCGACUCAAGUUGAGAUAUCUUCGAUUCAAGAGGAUGAUAUUUUGAGUACCCCUACCAUCAUAGGGGUCAACAUUGCUGUAAGUGAGGCUCAAGAUGCCUCACCACAUUUGAUUGAUUCCUUAUCUGAAUAAGAGGCUUUAUAAGUAUUACCCUCAACUGUACUUUACUUAUAUGCAUUGAGGACAACAUAUUUUUUUGUAGGGGUGGGUAUGCUUGUACCAUGGGGUUUUUUUUGCUUGUGUUAUUUUUCUCCCAUAUGCUAUCUAGUAGAACCGACAUGUCUAGGUUGCAUUUUUUUUCUCUAAGGAAUUGUGAUGUAAAUAUCCGUUGUUGAUGUUAUUUAUGAAAGUUUCUUUUCUUUUAGCAUCUUUUUGUAUAAAUGGAUGACGUAUGACUGUGGCAUAAGACUAUGAACAUGUUUGUAUGACUAUUUUCUCUUGUCAGUCAGCAUAUGUUGAACAACCAUUGGUGAAUUUUGUAAUUGGCAUUAGGAUGUAAAGUUUGCAUGACUAUGUGUUGUAAAUCCCAAGAGUUGGUAAAAUAAGUGUAACUCAUGUGUCUAUGUGUGCAAGCAUUUGUUUUAGCUCUUGCAUAGUUAUAUACCAAGAACAUGCUUAGAUUAUUGAUGUUGUUUUGUGGUUGAUUCAAUAAGAGAUGAUAGAAGGUCUCCUUGUACUUUCAGUCCACUUAGCCAAAAUAACUAACCCACCAAAAAGUUUUUUCCAUUUUUGAACCAUUUUUGAGCUUAUGUUAGUUUUUCUUCAUUCCCAAUAACUCUAAUUAACUCUCUUUAAGUAGUUGACAUCCAACUUUAGCCCUGGUCCAAGAUUGAACAAUGUACAUCUUAACUUAGGAAAAACACCUAAGUUGUGGAUGGCUACUGUCAGGACAUUAGCAGUUUAACAAAAGAGUGGUUUAGAGCUAAAAUAAAGUAUUCGGCCCUGAUCUAUUUAAGAUAUUAUGCACCUCAACUGACUGCAUCAACAUAAGUUGAAGGUGGCUGAUGCUUAUAAAAAAAGGAGGGUUAUGGCAAAGUGUGAAUGAAUAAUAGAGAUUGUAAGUGAGCUGGAAAAACAGUAGCCUUGGUGAGUAGAAUUCAAGGGCAAAGAGAGUUAAGUCUGAAUGUUGAGUCACUUUUCCCAAAAAUAUAUCCUCACCUAGCCUUGGAACCUCAUUACAAGCCUGAAAAAGUCCUAUUUAAUCUUUGCGAAUCAACCAUAAGGGAGCAUUAGAUGAUAAGGGCAAGCCUAUGGGUGUAUGUUCUAUGUUUGUAAUUUCUUUGAUGAGUGCGAGAGUCUUGAUUUUCAUCCACAAGAUAUAAUGAGUGGUGGAAUUUAUUGAUUAUGAAGAAAACUUGAGUUACACCUAGUUUUGCUGAUCUCUAUCGGAUAUUACAUCCAUAUUUGUGUAUGUGCUAAAUCAUAAACAAUGUUGGUUGUAGAUACUGAAAUAGUAAGUGAAUGUUUGUGUGAAAUCUAGUUCAGUAGUCAAUUUCCUAUCAUUGUAUUAUUCAUCAAUGCAGUUUGGUGCUGAGUUGCUUGAGGACAAGUAAUUAUCUUAAGUUGAGGGUGUUGAUGUUUUGGAUUUUGACGAAACAUUUUACAUCUUUUUUCAAUAGAUAAUUAUAUGUUUUCAAGCAACUAAUGUUGUAUUUAAUAUUGGAUUUUAGUGUUUUUAGGUUAAGGAGUUAGUUGAACAAGAAACCUAGAAAAGUAGCAGAAAAAGGCCACUGAUGGUUGAACUGGUGGACCGUUAGCCAUGUGAUGAACCGUUAGGGUGACCUUCAGAAAUAAAUAGAAAGGAACAAGUAAGUGACUCAUGUGAUGUUCCAAGUGACGGACUGUCAGAUCAUUGACAGACCGCCAACUUGGCCGUCAGGCUGAAGUAGAGAAUGGGUUUUCGGAGGAUCAAGCGAUCACCUAUGUGACGGACCACAAAGAAAGCAAUGGUCAGCCAAUAUGACCGUCAACCCUUAACCAGAACGUAGCAUUUGGGACCUUUAGUGAUGAUCAAUGCGAUGGACCAUCUGGUUUCCGAUGGGCUAUCAGCAUGAUCGUCAACUUUGAUGCAGCUUUUAAUGAGUUUAAAUUUUAAAUCCUCAGUCCCUGGGAACAUAUAAAUACCCAGUUUAGGUUUUAUUUAGGUAUCUUUUAUCAUAUUUUCCAUCUAGAAACCUUAUUAUACGUAUUAUUCUCUAUGAUUCAAGCUACAAUUGCGGAUCUAGUUAUCUUUAUUCAUAUUCUCAUUGAAGAUUCAAGAACAAUUAUUGUAACUUUGUAAGUAAUUCUUUGAAUCUAUUUAUGAAGAACACAAUGAUUUCCUCUUUUUCUCUUGAGAUAUGCGGAGAAACUCCCAUAACUAGGGUUAAGGGAGCCUUGAUGUGAAUAACUAAUUGGGGUUGUGAAAAUGUUUAAUUUUCAUAUGUAAUUGAGAUUGUAUAAACCCUUCUUCAUAUUAAUGACCUUUCUUGGUUGUAAAAUUGACGGGUGAGCCCAAGAACAUUACUUGUUUGAAAAAAAAAAAUAUGGGUGGAAAAGAACGAGUUUACAUGGAGUCUAAAGGCCUUAGCCAUUGGGUUAUGAGUUGAUGCCUUAACAAGGAUUGACUCACAUGAGAGAUUAGUUGAAUACAUUUAUAUAUUCUUUGAGUUUGAAAGAAUUAAAGGGUAAACUACCCAUUUAGGUUGAGAAAGAAAUGGGUAAACUUUAGAAUUCAAUAACUUUUGCAAUUGAAGUUGUAAAUUGGUAAUUUAAGAUAAUUCACAAUCCCAUCUGUUUGAACAUCUUGGUGAACAUAACUCUAGUUUGUUUAUUCUCAUUGUAUUAGUACUUGCAAUAAAACUUGCUAGCUGGAACACUACUCGUUACAACCCUUUAAAUACUGUAAACAAUUCAAAAACCCCUUUACUCAGGAACCUUCGAUCAACAGUCUGUUAACAACCAUAACACUUAGUUUGCACAGUAUUCCCUAUAGGAUUUGACCCCAACCUAGUUGGGUUUUAUAUUUGACAACAACCUCUUACACUUUUUAACGAGAGUUGUAAUUUGGUCGUAUCAUAACUUCAUCAAAGUUUCUUCAAUACAAUCUAGAAAUUAAGGUUCCUAAUCCAAGAAGUUUAAGAAAAAUCUUUGAAUAACAUUCCCAAGUCUUCCAAGUCAAGCUUUCAAUUUUAAAUCAUCUAUUAAGGUGUGUGGGAGUUCAUCCAUGAGUCCUCUUUCACUAAUGGAUCGCAAAAUUAUUUUAUUUCAAUUAACGAAUAAUUUUUCGAUCAUUAUGUUAUUUUAAAUAUUCAAGAAAGAUUGAAUUGCAUGUUUUCAUGGUGAUUUUAAUUAAUUUCUUCCCAUGUGUGAUUCUAUGUAAGAUUUUGAAUUCCCUAAGCUAUGAAUUUGAGUUUCCCAUGCUUUAUUCAAGUGAAUUCCAUGAUAGAUCCUUAAUUCAUGAUUUUUAGCAACAUUCUGAUAUUUUAUAUUCAUGCUUUUCACAUGUUUGCUGAAUUCACAUAUCACGUUCAAUCAAUUUCAAGAUGAAUCUCCAAGUUAUGAAUUUUCCAUACAAUUUAUUGUUCACCCAUGUUUAAGACAUUUUAGGUUCAAGCUAUGAUCUUUACAUGUAUGAUUAAACACCUAUGUCCUAUUUCAAUUGAAUUUCAUGUGAAUUUCUAAAUUCAAGAUUUUAGUUAUGUAAUCAUGCUAUGUUCUCAUGUUUGAGAUAUUCCCAUGUUUAAGUUCAUGAUCCCUGUAUGUUUGAUGGACUUUCCCAUGUUAGUAUUAAUCCCCAUGUGUAUGAUGAAAUGCCUAAGUGAUGGGUUUCUUUAAAUAAUACUUACUUAUUAUGGUCUCAAAUUCUCUCACGUGUUUUUAUUAUUAUUGAUAUCAAGUACUGGGGGUUAUGAAUGCCCAAAGUAUAGUUGUUUAUAUUGUCUCCAAUCAAAAUAGAAUGAUUCCAUAGUAUCCGGAACAGUAGUAUUCGGUCAGACAAUAGGAUCAGUGUGAGCUCAGUCAAGCCUAGUACAGUCUAAUGAUCAGUUCGGUGUCGAUUCAGUUGGGAGUACGAUUCAGCACCACGCGAACCCAGGGAUAGAGGCAUUCCUUCCAGCAGAGGGUUUGACCCUUAGUAGUAGUCCCUGAGUUACAAAACUACGUAGCCAACGUAGGGUAAAUCAUCUUUCUGUCAGACUAGGGUUAACGUAACCAUAUACUUCUCAUGAGUUUUCCUAUCAGAUUAGGGUUGACAUGGCAAAUUUUAGUAACUCAUGGCACAAUGCUAAGCCUUUCCAAUUGGGGUUACAGGUUUGACCUUAAAUUAGUCUAUAAUCUUGGUAUAUUAGUUACAGUCUCAGUUCAGCAUUCAGUUCAGAGUUCAGUUUCAGAUUUGCUUGACCAUAGCAUACAAUUAUAAGUUAUUCAAGUAUCAGUAUUUUAUUUUUUUUUAGUUUACAGAGUAUUUCAAAAUCAUCUUAUAUACUUAAUCUUGCAUUUUUAGAUAUUACAAUUUUCAUGCAUUCAUGCUCAGUUAUCUCAUGUUGGUUAGAUAGUCCUCAACUCAUAUGCAUAGUACCCCACAGUUUUGGUUUUAUUAUUCAGUUUAGAACUUAGGUUAGUUUUAGGUUUUCUUGACCAUAGCAUACAUGUAUUCGUUAUUCAGUUAUCAGUAUUUCAGUUUAUAGAUUAUUUCCUAAUCAUGUUAUACGCUUGGUAUUGCAUUCUCAGAUAAUACAGUUUUAUGUAUUUAUGUUUGGUCAUCUCAUGUUGUUUAGUUAGUACUUAUCUCAUGUGCAUAGCACUCCACAGUUUCAGUCCAGUUAUUUAGACUAAGUACAGUCCAGUCUUACUUUACCAGUAUUUAACUAUCAGUCAUUUAGUUAAUCAAAUAAGCUUAGUAUAUGUUAAGUUUAGUUCUGUAUAUUUAGGUAUACGUGCUCAGUAUAAUUGUAUAUUCAGAUCCCCAAUGUUAUGGUAGUUUUCAUCACGUAGUUUCAGACUCAGUAUUCAUAUUUUACAGUAUCCCCACUUCAGUUCUACUUAUGUCAUUAAAGUAAAGUUUUACAGAAACUAAGUGUAGAGAUUCGCCAUCUUAUCAGAGUAUGUUUGUCACUCAUGCUUUAAGAUGUUUUCAGCUUUCAGUUUAUUCUAGCCUAUUGGUGAGUCUACUUGCACCUAGCAUGCGUGUUUUAAGAUUAUGUAUGAAAUCAGUUUUACUUAUUGAAUUCACCCUUUCAUACUUAGUAUAUUUCAAAAUUAUUGAUCCAUAUAUAUGUCUGUGUGGCUACACUAUUUCAUAAUUUAGCUACCAUUUAUAGCCUGCACAUCACGAUCAGACAGUUGCAGACUCCAGCUAACAGGUGAUGAGUUCUCCUACUUUGGGAACUCCAGAUAGUUUUAGUUCAUGUACAUCUCAUUUAUUUUCAUAUAUAUUGAUUUGUGGUAGUUGGAGGCAUGUCCCAGAUAUCUAUAGUCAGUAUAGUAGAGGCUUCAUAGAGGUUAGUCAGAGUCAGUUAUGUAAAUUUUAGUUUCUUACUUCUGUUUUAUCAGAUUGUAAACUUUAUCGGUAAUGUAUUUAUUCAGAUAUGCCAUGAAUUUGUUUCCUCAUAGCAGAACUUGUUAUUAUUUUAUUAGAAGCCAAUUGCUUAAUAGUAAGCAAGUUUAUGGGUUAACUUAGGAUCACUUGUAGUUCCAAGCACCGUGUGAUGACUAGGGGGUAGUCUUGGGUUGUUACAAACAUCGUAUUAGAGCAUAGAGUUCAAGUGUCCUAGGGUGUCUAUGAAGUCAUGUUUAGUAGAGCCUGGCGGAAUGGUAUAGAGAUGUCUGUACUUUUCUUAAUUGGCUACAGGGCAUUUAGGAAAUAUUUCCCUUCUUUCUUAUGUUAGAUCGUUCUAUAGAAAGGUUCUCUAAGAAUAUAAGAAACUUAUACAGAUUCUCAUCUUGCUCUAUUCAUUCCAUCUUACCUUAUUUUUGUGGUAAUAGAAAUAGUCAAACUCAAAUUCCCACGGACAGAGUUUUCUGAGAUAGUCCCCACAGACAGUUUUAGGAUUUUAUGUUGGCUCAGAAAGUAUACCAUUAUUUCCCUUAUGUUCUAAACUUUGAAAAUAUUCAUUCCAUUUUUAUUCAUAAAAAUACUACAUUUAGCCAAAGUUAGAUGUGCUUUUAUAUCCCUUCUUAGAAUCAUAUGAUAGCAUAUGAUCUAGAGUUAAAAUCAUGAACCCAGAAGUUUAGAAGUAGGAGAGUUGGGAUAGGUGUUAUCUGGAUUGAGCAGAUUUUGUAUCCAUGGGGCUAGUUGUAUGAAAGGUGAACCAUAGGCUUGAAACAGUGUAUGUAAGAUUCAAAAUUAUAUGUUGUUAAUGCCAGAUGUUUAGGUGUGACGGUAGUUAGCAUGUUUUAGAUGUAAUAUUAGUAGACUAUAAAGGAAGUUAGUAUGGUUCAUUGAAGGUUUGGGGAUAUCCAUGCUAAGUUUUAGAAUCUAAGUGUGAAUCUUAGAAAAUUUAGCUUACAAAAAAAAAAGAGUUGAAGCUCUAGAUGGUGUGAACUCAGAGUAAGGUGAUUGUAUUUCAGUUUAGAGUUAGUAAAGGGGUCCACAGACUUAAGAUGAUAGCUUUAGUCUAAGGGGGAGAUGAUAGAAUAAGUGACCAAGUCAGGCUCUCAAAUUCUAGUAGUAGUGCCAUAUAUGUAGAAAAGAAGUAAGGGAGGAUGAUUCCCAACCUAUUCUUAUCUCAGUGCAAAGUUUUUCAGUCUUCACGAUAUCUACUUAUUCCUUACAAGUCAGCUCCAUGAUCAUGUCUUAUGUUCAUGCACAUCAUAGAGAAUAAUGUACGCUUUUCGUUCCUAGUAUAAGCAGUUCUAGUUCACUCAGUAGUAAGAAUCAUAUUCCAUGAAAUCUUGAACUCCAAACUCAGGUCAUGCAGCUCAUGACUCAUGUACCCAUGCCUUAUAGUAUGUUCAGAUCCAGGUACUCAUGCAACACUCCUAAUGAUCAGCAAAAUUUAGUUUAUUUUAUGUAUACCAUUAGUUUAGCUCUCUUCGACGAAUUCAUACUUUUAAUACUCUACUCCACAGGCUUCAGUUAAGUGUCAUGGUUAUCCUUUCAUAUUUCAAGUCCUUAUGUUCUAACUUUUCAGUGAACUCUCCUUAUGUCAUGAUUAGUUGAAAUUCUAUGUGUAUUUUCUUGGGAUAGUGCAUGAAAGUUUUAAGGAUAGAGGUUUAGAGAAUAUGAGAAAGAUGGUUUUGUGGUUGUUUGCCUAUAAGUUCAUGUGUGGUUAUAAUGAUAGGCUUUAAUGUUAGGUUGGUGUAUAGUGGAUGAAUUCAUUGGGCACUAGUUAAUUCAUGGUAAGAGAUUGAAGUUAGUUGUUGAAGUGGGAAUGAUUAUUAUUCUUAAGAUGAGAAGUUGCGAAAACGAAUGGUAGAUUGAAUUCAUGGUUAGUCUAGUAUUAUUGUGAUAUGUGUGCACUUUGUAGACUCGAGUAGGCAUGAGCAUAGUGAGAGAAUUUAAUUCAGCUCAGACUUCAGUAGAUAAAGUUAUUAGUGCCCAUCUGAAUAUUUUCAUAAGCCUCAAGUGAAGUGCAGUUUUGAAGUGAAAUGUAUAGCCGAGUAUAAGAUUUCAGUAUAUUUAGUCUGUUUAGCCAUUAAUCAAGUUUAGCAGUCACACAGAAAAGUUCCUAUAGUUUUUCCUUUUUCCAUCUAGUCUUACUAUUCGAUGUUUCAUGAGUUUAACUAUUCCAUGGUAUAAUUCAGUCACGUCCAUGCAAGUUACAAAUUCAGUUUAAUCCAUGCAUCAUGUUUCAGAUUCAGAUAUUCAGUCAUGAUUCAAUUCAUAAGUGUCCCAUGCCACAUCCCAGUCUUCCCUUAGUAUUUCAUCUAAGUCAGUGUCUUUCAGGGAACAAAUAAUCCCAAGGGGGAUGUUGUAAUACCCCGAGUAUUUAUGUCCUAAGCCUAUCAUCUUUUCUUCAUGAAAUCAGAUCAAUCUUUAAGUAGUAGUUACUCAUAAGUUAACUCUCUUAUUAUAUCUUAUCCAUACAACCAUUCUCAUAUCAGUGCAUGUAUGCAUGAAAAUCAGUUUGAUUCAUGUAUCCUAUUUCAGAAUCAGUUAUGCAAUCAUGUUCCAAGUCAUACAUGUUAAAAAUAUGAUCUCAGUUACCUUCGUACAAUACUCUCAGUCUAACCAGUCUCAUUCGAGGAUGAAUAUUUCUAAGUGAGAGAUAAUGUAACACCCCGUAUUUUUGGGCUAAUCUAUGUACCAUAGUUCCUAUGUGUAAAAGCUAUAAUCCAAAUGAUUCCCACAUGAAUAUAAGUUUCAUGAUCUUUAUCCUCGUGUUUGAUGUUCUUUUGAGGUGAAGAAUGUUCAUAAGAAUCACUUAUAAUAAAGUUGAGCUUAGAGCCUUUUGAUUCGUCCAAAUUUUGGUGUUCGAUUCUACAAGGAUCUAAUUUUAAUGUGUAUAAUUUUUUAUAUAUGUGGAAUUUUGCAGCUCAAUAUCUACAAAAUUUAAUAUAAUUGAAUUAGCUUUCCAACAGUACCAAUUUCGCGUUAAUCCUAUACCCGAGUGAAAGGUUAUGACAUUUUUCAUGAGAGGUUGUAAGUCGAUGCGAUAGGGACGCGACGUGUCUGUCAUCGACAUGAUUAGCAAUGCGACACGAUGGAAGCCGCGUCACUGAACUAUUUCACAUGCUAUUUCAUUUCCUAAAGGGUCUAGGGGCACUUUGGUCACUUCUUCUCACCCAAAUCUGUCCAUAACAUUUAAUUUCAUCCCAAAAGCAUUAGGUACAUGAUUUCUCAUCUUUUUCUCUCCAAUAAAACCCUAUCCCCCUCAAGAACAUCAAGAACUUCAUCAAAGUUUCUUCAAUACAAUCAAGAAAUUAAGGUUUCUAAUCCAAGAAGUUCAAGAAAAAGCUUACGAUAACAUUCCCAAGGCUUCCAAGUCAAGCUUUAAAUUUCAAAUCAUCUAUUAAGAUAUGUGGGAGUUCAUCCAUGGGUCCUCUUUCACCCAUGGAGCCCAAAACCCUUUUAUUUCAAUUAAAGAAUAAAUUUUUCGAUUAUUAUGUUAUUUUAAAUGUUCAAGAAAGAUUGAAUUGCAUGUUUUCCUGGUGAUUUUAAUUAAUUUCAGCACAUGUGUGAUUUCAUGCAAGAUUUUGAAUUUCCCAUGCUAUAAAUUUAAGUUUCCCAUGCUUUAUUCAAGUUAAUUCCCUAAUAGAUCCUAAAUUCAUGAUCUUUAGCAACAUUCUCAUGCUUUCCAUAUGUUUGAUGAAAUUUCUAUAUCACAUUCAAUCAAUUUCAAGAUGAAUCCCCAAGUUAUGGAUUUUUCCAUGUAACUCUAUUGUUCACCCGUGUUUAAGAUAUUUUUAGGUUCAAGCUAUGAUCUUUACAUGUAUGAUUAAAUGCCCAUGUCCUAUUUCAAGCGAAUUUUAUGUGAAUUCCUAAAUUCAUAAUUUUAGUUAUGUAAUCAUGCUAUGCUCCUAUGGUUGAGAUAUUUCUAUGUUCAAGUUCAUGAUCCCUGUGUGUUUGAUGGACUGUCCUAUGUUAAAGUAUUAAUCCCAACGUGUAUGAUGAAAUGCCCAAGUGAUGGGUUUCUUUAUAUAAUGCUUACUUAUUAUGUACUCAAAUGCUCUUAUAUGUUCUUAUUAUUAUUGCUAUCGAGUACUGGGGAUUAUGAAUACCCAAAAUUUAGUUAUUUAUCUAGUCUCCAGUCAAAAUAGAAUGUUUUUAUAGUAUCCCAAAUAGUAGCAUUCAAUCAGUCAACAGAAUCAAUGUGAGUUUAGUCAAGUCUAGUACAGUCUAGUGAUCAGUUCAGUGUCAAUUCAGUUAGGAGUACGAUUCAUCACUGAGCGAACCUAGGGAUGAGGUCAUUCAAGCCAGCAGAGGGUUUGACCCUUAGAGGUAGUCCUUGAGUUACAUAACUAUGUAGCCAGUUUAGGGUAAAUCAUUUUCCUGUCAGACUAGGGUUGACGUAACCAUAUACUUCUCAUAAGUCUUCCUGCCAGAUUAGGGUUGACCCAGCAAAUGUUAGUAACCCGUGGCAGGAUGCUAACACCCUUGCAACUAGGGUUGCAGGUUGGGCCCUAAAUCAGUUUAUAAUUAGGGUAUGUCAGUUUGAUGAUAACUCCCACAGUCUUAGUUACCGUCUUAGUUCAGAGUUUAGUUUUAGGUUUGCUUGAUCAUAGCAUACAAUUAUCAGUUAUUCAGGUAUUAGUAUUUCAAUAUUUCAGUUUAUAGACUAUUUCAGAAUCAUUUUAUACGCUUGGUUUUGCAUUCUUAGAUAUUACAGUAUCCACGCAUUCAUGCUCAGUUAUCUCAUGUUGUUUAGAUAGUCCUCAACUCAUAUGCAUAGUAACCCAUAAUUUUAGUUUCAGUAUUCAGUUCAGAAAUCAGUUUAGUUUAAGGUUUGCUUGACCAUAGCAUACAAUUAUCAGUUAUUCAGUUAUUAGUAUUUCAGUUUAUAGACUAUUUUUGAAUCAUGUUAUAUCCUUGGUCUUGCAUUCUCAGAUAAUACAGUUUCAUGCAUUCAUGUUCGGCCCUCUCAUGUUGUUCAGUUAGUCCUUAUCUCAUGUGCAUAGUACACCACAGUUUUAGUCCAAUUAUUCAGAUUAAGUAUAGUCCAGUCUUACAUGACCAGUAUUCAGCUAAAAGUUAUUCAGUUAAUUAGUUAAGCUUAGCAUAUGUUACAUUGGGUUCUGUAUGUUUAGGUAUUCGAGCUCAGUAUAAUUGUAUAUUCAGAUCCCCGAUGUUAUGUAAAUUUUUUUCACAUAGUUUAAGACUCAUUUUCAUAUAGUAUUCACAUUUUAUUGUAUCCCAGCUUCAGUUUUACUUAUGUCAAUAAAGUAAAGUUUUACAGAAAUUAAGUGUAGAGAUUCACCAUCUUUUCAGAGUAUGUUUGUCACUCAUGCUUUAAGAUGUUUUCAUCUUUCAGUUUAUUCCAGCCUAUUAGUGAGUCUACUUACACCUAGCAUGCAUGUUUUAAGAUUACGUAUGAAUUUAGUUUUAGUUAUUACAUUGACCACUGCAUACUCAAUAUAUUCGAGAAGUACCAAUCCAUAUUUACGUCUAUGUGGAUACAUUAUUUCAUAAUGUAGGUACCAUUUGUAGCCCGCACAUCACGAUUAGACAGUUGCAAAUUUCAAUUAGCAGGUGAUGAGUUGUUCUAAUUUGGGAACUCUAAAUAGUUUUAGUUCAUGUACAAUUUAUUUAUUUUCAUAUGUAUUGAUUAGUGGUAGUUGGAGGCGUGUCCCAGCAAUCUAUAGCCAGUAUAGUAGAGGCUUCAUAGAUGUCAGUCAGAGUCAGUCAUGUAUAUUUUAGAAAUGACUAAGUCCCUAAAACUUAGUGAUAUUUUCAGGACUUAAGCCCCUUAUGCAUGCAACUAGAAGCUGAACUGAGCUAGGAAUAAUACAGGAUAUUACAACUUUGUUUGAUCUCGGUUUAACAUUUUCGUAUGUGUUUGCUUAUUUUGCAACAUUGUUGGGUUACGGUCAGAGUGCUUAUCUGUGCCACUGUGUUUAUUCUCAUAGGUCAUUCUUUACCAGUGGAUCGGGUGUAUAGAUCUUGUUUGGUGACUGUUUGGGAGUUUGAUACUCAAAUUGAUCUCAUUAUCCUAGAUAUGGUAGAUUUUGAUGUGAUUCUAGGCAUGGAUUGUCUAUCUCCUUACUAUGCGGUCUUGGAUUGUUUUGCUAAGACCGUAACCUUAGCCUUGCCUGACGUACCCCCAGUUGUGUAGAUUUGCUCUGUUAGUUGCAUACCAACGAGGAUUAUUUGUUACAUUUGGGAUAGGAGACUGAUAUUGGGGGGUUGUGAGUCAUUUCUUGCAUUUAUUUCUUACACGAUCCGAACUCGAGCCUUGCCGUGUCAGGUAUCUCAAGUCCAACCAGGACCGGAGAUCACCCCCAAUACCCAAACCAUCGCCUACCUUACACCAUACGUUUGAUGAAUUCUAAACAUAUAACAAUAUAUGAGAAUUUCAAUAAGGAAAAAAAUAAACCAUUAAAAUAAGUCUAUAACCAAAACCAACCGUUUCAAACCAAACAUACAACAAAUACCGAUACCAAUGCUAGCAUCAAUAUAAACACCGCCCAUGUCCCAGUAGUUCGACAAAGCCUCUAAUCAAAACCAUAGAAUAUUCGGUCGGGACAUGCCCUCGACCAUAGUCAAAACUUAGACCAAAGGAAUAGUAAAGUCAGAAAGUAAUCCAUAGAAUGAAAUGGAGUCGUUCAAAGUAUGGAAACUCACCACUUCAUUCUGACUCAAAAGUUAUCCUCGAAUCACCUAGUUACUGAGCAGAAGGAGAAUAAGUAUGACCAAUUCUUGCAUUGCAUGGGGAUACAACGUACGAAAAUAGUUAGCGGGGUGAACGGUAGCAUGAAACUCAGGAAUAAGGAUAACAUAAUGAUAUGAUCAAUAGUUUAAAAUCAUUCAAAGGCCAACUCACUUAAACAAAUGCAAAUACAUAUUUAUAUAUAUCACAUGUUGAGAUAAGGAACAAGGCUUAACGUGCUUUUCAAAAUCUUAACCUGGAUUUGUAUCUCAAUCGUCAUAUAAUAGUAUCCAUGGGCUAUAUGGGCUAGCUCUUACCCCUGGUCAGGCCCCAGUGCAUGUAACCGCACGAACUGAAGAAUAAUCUCAUAUAUAUGCACAUUAGGGACUCGAACCCUCAAACAUAUACCAAGGUGACUUAAGAACCAACUCAUAUAAUGAUUUACUGGGGACUCGAACCUCCCUAAUCAUGAAAUAAUUAUAAGGGGAAUUCGAACCUCCCUGGUCACUUUGACCCCUACAUUAGCAAACGCAGUUUCCAGUAUCAGUCACUUGGACCUCCACUUUCACAACUCAGCUACACAACCCCAAUUAGAGCCCAAUUAAAAUAGUUGUCACACAUUCCCAUUCAAUGAACCAUGAUACCUAUUUAGGCAUACGUUGUUAGUAUCAUCAUACCAACAAUACUUGCAAGUUAACACAUCAUGCCAAAACAACUUCCACUAACUUAGGGAGAACAACUCCUUCUGGUCAUUAAUACAGAUUGGGGAAACACCGACUCCCUUUGUUAAUUAAAUCAUACAAUUGUAUUUCUAAUAUUUCUAAAUAUCAUCCAUUAGUUCAUGACUAGUUCAGUUUUUUAAAAUUUUCAUAGUUCUCAUAACUAAAACCAAUUUCACAUUAUAGGGUUGGGGUUAUAACCACUUCAGAAGUCACAAGUUUGGGAAAGUCACAAUUCCCUAGUUCAUUCACUAUACCCAUGCACCCAAAAGUUCAAAACCAUAUUAAAAGCAUGAAUAUAUAUAUAUAUAUAUAUAAACCAUGGGAAACAUUGUUCAAUUCAUAACAUUCAAAAACUCCCAACCUUUGUUUUCAAAAACCAUAACAAUAACCUUAUGAACAACACUCUAAAUUACAUGAUUUUUUAAAAAUUAAAAAUGAGGAAAGAGUAACAUGCCUUAAUUAACUAAGAAGUACAGAGAGAAAUCACCCUUGAAAUCCCUAAUUGAUCAACCUUUGAAAACCCUAAGUGUUUUUGACCUUGAGAAUUUGGGAGUGUUAUGAGAUAUGUUUCUAAGAGCAAAUGAUGCCUUAAGAAAGUUAUAAGAUGUGGGUUUUUAAGUUGGACAAGAGGGAAAAUGUCUAGAAUGCCCUUAACAUAAUAGUUGGAAAGAAUCAUCUUUAGCUAUGAGUCAACGCAUUGACUUGUACCCAUACCUUACAACUCAUGACCACGAGUUACAACUAAGACACUGACUAGGACCCCCAUACACUGCCCACCUUACGACUCCACCAACCCACUUAUAAGAAGAUCUUAGACUCGUAAGGUCUAGUCAUGAUCAACACAGAGCACAAAAAAAUUAAACACUGAACAUCUUACGAUUUGAACCUACAACUCAUAAUAUAUCCUCACUACUCAUAGUGAGCCACUUAUAAUUAGAGCAGAACCUUUCCAUUAAGUUUUUAUUUUUAUUACGACUAGGUUAUUACGAACCAUAACCAAAACUCAUGACUUGUCAUAGUAAGUCGUGACUAAGAUAGUGAGCCCAAAACUCAAUAAUUUUCAAGGGCUAAAAAGUUGGUGUUUUACAUUCUCUCCCAUUUGGAUCAUUCAUCCUCACAUUAUAGGUCAAGGCAACACAAGCACGAUUGGACUCAAUAUACCUCCACUUUUACUACCCCUGGUCAGGCCCCAGUGCAUGUAACCGCACGAACUGAAGAAUAAUCUCAUAUAUAUGCACAUUAGGGACUCGAACCCUCAAACAUAUACCAAGGUGACUUAAGAACCAACUCAUAUAAUGAUUUACUGGGGACUCGAACCUCCCUAAUCAUGAAAUAAUUAUAAGGGGAAUUCGAACCUCCCUGGUCACUUUGACCCCUACAUUAGCAAACGCAGUUUCCAGUAUCAGUCACUUGGACCUCCACUUUCACAACUCAGCUACACAACCCCAAUUAGAGCCCAAUUAAAAUAGUUGUCACACAUUCCCAUUCAAUGAACCAUGAUACCUAUUUAGGCAUACGUUGUUAGUAUCAUCAUACCAACAAUACUUGCAAGUUAACACAUCAUGCCAAAACAACUUCCACUAACUUAGGGAGAACAACUCCUUCUGGUCAUUAAUACAGAUUGGGGAAACACCGACUCCCUUUGUUAAUUAAAUCAUACAAUUGUAUUUCUAAUAUUUCUAAAUAUCAUCCAUUAGUUCAUGACUAGUUCAGUUUUUUAAAAUUUUCAUAGUUCUCAUAACUAAAACCAAUUUCACAUUAUAGGGUUGGGGUUAUAACCACUUCAGAAGUCACAAGUUUGGGAAAGUCACAAUUCCCUAGUUCAUUCACUAUACCCAUGCACCCAAAAGUUCAAAACCAUAUUAAAAGCAUGAAUAUAUAUAUAUAUAUAUAUAAACCAUGGGAAACAUUGUUCAAUUCAUAACAUUCAAAAACUCCCAACCUUUGUUUUCAAAAACCAUAACAAUAACCUUAUGAACAACACUCUAAAUUACAUGAUUUUUUAAAAAUUAAAAAUGAGGAAAGAGUAACAUGCCUUAAUUAACUAAGAAGUACAGAGAGAAAUCACCCUUGAAAUCCCUAAUUGAUCAACCUUUGAAAACCCUAAGUGUUUUUGACCUUGAGAAUUUGGGAGUGUUAUGAGAUAUGUUUCUAAGAGCAAAUGAUGCCUUAAGAAAGUUAUAAGAUGUGGGUUUUUAAGUUGGACAAGAGGGAAAAUGUCUAGAAUGCCCUUAACAUAAUAGUUGGAAAGAAUCAUCUUUAGCUAUGAGUCAACGCAUUGACUUGUACCCAUACCUUACAACUCAUGACCACGAGUUACAACUAAGACACUGACUAGGACCCCCAUACACUGCCCACCUUACGACUCCACCAACCCACUUAUAAGAAGAUCUUAGACUCGUAAGGUCUAGUCAUGAUCAACACAGAGCACAAAAAAAUUAAACACUGAACAUCUUACGAUUUGAACCUACAACUCAUAAUAUAUCCUCACUACUCAUAGUGAGCCACUUAUAAUUAGAGCAGAACCUUUCCAUUAAGUUUUUAUUUUUAUUACGACUAGGUUAUUACGAACCAUAACCAAAACUCAUGACUUGUCAUAGUAAGUCGUGACUAAGAUAGUGAGCCCAAAACUCAAUAAUUUUCAAGGGCUAAAAAGUUGGUGUUUUACAUUCUCUCCCAUUUGGAUCAUUCAUCCUCACAUUAUAGGUCAAGGCAACACAAGCACGAUUGGACUCAAUAUACCUCCACUUUUACUGUUAACUAAGUUAGAAAAAAAGAUGCUGAGGAUAACACAUACAUUAUACAUGAUUUUAUGGUGCAGAAAAAAAAUGAAUACUUGGAUUUCAUGUCCUCUUCUGCUUCCCAAGUAGCCUCUUCAACCUUAUGUUACCUCCACAGAACCUUUACCAAAGCUACAUCGUUCGUCCGCAAUUGAUGAACUUGCUAAUCCAAAAUUUCAACCAGGACUUCUUUAUAAGACAAGGAAUCUGAAAUACCAACAUCCUUUAUAGGCACAAUCUGCGAUGGAUCACCCACAUACUUUCUCAACAUUGACACGUGGAACACCGGGUGAAUACAACUUAAAUUGGAAGGCAACUCUAACUCAUAGGCAAUGCUUCCACCCUUAUUCAAAACUAAGUAAGGGUCUAAUACUGGGGGAUGAGUUUCCCCUUCUUCCCAAAUCACAUUACUCCCUUCAUGUUAGCCUUUAAGAACACCCAAUCACUAAUCCGGACUCCAACUCCCUACGCCUCACAUCUAUAUAGGACUUUUAGCAAGUUUGGGUUGCUUUAUGUCUAUCCCAAAUGACCUUUACCUUCUUCAUCGCUUGAUAAAACAAAUUUGGACCAAACAUCUCCACCUCACUAACCUCAAACCACCCAAUGAGAACAAUACCUCUUACUAUACAAUGCCUUAAAAGAAGCCAUACCAAUGCUAGAGUGAUUACUAUUAUUAUACGCAAACUUAAUAAGAGGUAAAUGAUCGACCCAACUACCACCAUAGACAAUCACGCAAGAUCGACAGCUAUCUUCCAAGACUUGAACCAUCCUUUCCACUUGUACAUUCAUCUGUAAGUGGAAAACAGUACUAAGGAUCACCUUAAUUACCAAAGCUCUCUGAAACUAAUGCCAAAAAAUGCAUGAUAAUUGAGUACCGUAAUAUGAUAUGAUAGAAAUAGGCACCCCAUAUGACUUCACAAUCUCUUGAUGGAAUAUCUUCGCAUAAUACUCCACUGAAUAAUUAGUCCUUACUGGCAAAAAGUGAGCAGGCUUGGUCAUUCUAUCCACAAUGACCAAAAUUAAAUCAAACUAAUUCUAAGAAUGAGGAAGACUGGUAACAAAAUCCAUAUUAAUUACUAACCACUUCCAUACAGGAAACUCAAUCUCUUGAUACAACCCUUCAGGCCUCAGGUGCUCAACCUUAACUUAUUGACACACAAUGAAUUUAGCCAUAAAACUUGACACAUCUCACAUCAUAUUGUUCCACAAAUAAAUCUCCUUAAGAUCAUGAUACAUCUUUAUCAAACCAAGAUGAAUGACGUAACGUGACUCAUGAGCCUCAGCCAUGAUCAUCUCUCUCAACCCAUCUACAUCAGGAACACAUAAUCUGCCUUUGUACCUCAAGAUACCAUUACCACUGAUCUCAAAAGCUACAACUUGUUGAUGACCCUAAUCUCCCUGAAUCUUUGUUAAGAUAGGAUCCAGUACCUACGUUUUCUUUAUUUUAGCAGCAAGGGAUGACUUAGACACUUCUUGUACAAAUACACCACCAUCCUCAAAGUCUAAGAGAUGAACUACAAGGUUAGCCAAACUAUGGAUAUCCUUCACUAAUUCCCAUUUCUCUUUAUCUACAUGAGCUAGACUCUCCACAGAUAACCUGCUAAGAGCCUCAACAACUACAUUAGCAUUUUCUAGGUGAUAAUGGAGACUAAUGUCAUAGUCCUUCAGCAACUUAAGCCACCUCUUUAACCUAAGAUUCAACUUUUUUUAGGUGAAAAUAUAUUGUAGGUUCUUAUGAUCUAAAAAGAUAUCCAAAUGAACUCCAUACAAAUAGUGAUACUAGAAAUUUAACACAAACACCAGAACCAAUAACUCUAGGUCAUGAGUUGGGUAAUUCUUCUCAUGAACUUCAAACUUCCUAGAAGCAUAGGCCACCACCCUACCAUGCUGCAUCAACAUAUAACCAAGUCCCAUAUGGGAUGCAUUACAAUAGAUAAAAAAACCAUCAGCACCUUUAGGCAGAUUCAAAAUAGGAGAUGAAGUCAACUUAUCUUUAAAAUUCUAAAAACUACCCUCACAAGUGAUCUGAGAUGGAUUUAUGCAUGUCAGUGUUGUUAUCCUACCUUAUUUAUCCUUAUUUUAAGGACAACUAAUGUGAUUAAUGGGUUAAUAUUGACAUAAAAAAACAUAUAAGUGUUUAAGUAUGUGAUUACAAUUCUUAAAGGUGUUUUCAAACAAGAUUGGAACCAAUUUGGUCAUUUAGUGUUCAAAUCAGAAACUAGUGUUACUAGCUUGAGCUAGGUGUCGUUCUAGUGUAUCUCGAUGGAUUAAGUUGUGUUUCAUGAGUUUGUAAUGGUAUGACUGUGUAAUUAUGUAUGGAAAAACUUGUUUCUAAUGUUCAAGGUUCAAUUGAACAGAGCCAAGAGUCAAAAUAAUAAAUUAAAGAUCAAUGUGGGCAAGCCUAGUCUUAGCUUGAGUUUCUAGUUCACUGUUCUUGAUAUUGUGUUGGUGUGAGCUCUAAUCUAUGGUGUACGAUAAUGUACGAUGUUUAGUGAGUUGAUUUAGAUGAUAUACAAAGGAUAUACAAGAUUUACAUGAAAUAUAAACAACACCACAAGGCUUGGUAUGGAGGAUAAAUGCACAAAUAAAGUUGGACGUCAAAAGUGAAAUUAUAGUGAAGCCUCGUGUUGAGAUAGUAUCACGACUUUCACUCCACAUUUGCAGGACUUACAUCAUGAACUCCUCACCACCUUUUUAGGCCUCACAUUGUGACUCCAUCCUCAAGAUCCUGCCAAAUGCGUCGCACCAUCCAUUCCACACACGACCAAAUGCCUUUGCUUAUAAGUAGGACUUAUUUACUAGUUGUUUGACACCAUGGACGUCUUGGAUCUUUGGAGAGGGGUUGAUAAACACUUAUUUUAGGAUUUAUAUCUCUUUAUUUUAGCUUUUUAAGGUAUUAUAUCAUUUAUUCAAUUAAUUUGAUUACGGUUAUGUCUAUUAGCGGCUAAACACCCCCUUUCUGGGGUUAAGGCCAAACACAUGUUUACUUUUGCUUUGAAUUUAGUUUUUUUGGAUUUAUAUCAUAUUUGGUUGUUUUUUUUAUCCUUAUUAUCACUAUUUUAAGGAUUCACAACCCUUAGAAUACAUAUAUUGUCGACCUUGCAAACUCAGGAGGGUGAAUAGGAAGAUAGAACAUGGGGAUAGAUAGAGUAAGGUUCUUAUUCUUUAUGAAAUAAGGAAUUUGAAUUAGCAAAUAGGAUAGAGAUAUACCUAUAAGCCUUGCUUGGUUCACAUUUAGGAUAAUAUCUUAAUUCAUCUAAUUAGAUUAUUACAUCCUCGCUUAAUAAAGUUGUUGUAAUGACCGGUUAGGUAGAAGGUUUGAGUUCUGGAGACCAUGAUCAUAGGAUAAUCCCUAUGAGUGAACGGCCAAGAUAAGUAAUCUAACGAACGAAGAUAAACCCUAUGAGUCAACGACCAAGAUAAGUAAUCUAACAAACGAAGUUCAAUAGCAUAGUAUGAUUGUUCAAAGUGCUUUUACCCUGGGUUUUCAUCCAUUGAUUGUCCAAAGUCUUUACCUGUCUGCAUUACUUUAGUUUACUUUUAAUUAUAACUUUCAAUACUCCGUUGGUUACGAUUACACUAUUUAAUCUCAAUUGUUAACUAGAAUUGGAUAGUUUCUUAACACAAGUCUCUGAGGGAUCGAUAUUCGGCCUUAUUUGAGGCCACUGUAUUACAUGGUGAGACCAUGUACGCUUUCAUUAUACUUGGGAGCGAUCAAGUUUUGGUGCCGUUGUUAGGGACUUAUAAAUUAGCAACUAUUUUUGUCUUAGUUUUACUUUUUAGAUUUCUUUGGUGCAUUACUCUUGGACUUGGUAUUGAAUUUGUAUGAAAUAGGUUUGCGGAUUAGUAAGUUGGCAAGGGAUAGAGAUUUCGUAGAACCAAUUCCCAAACCAGAGAAACGCUUUCAUCAAUAAAGGAGAGAAGUAAUCUAUCUACCCCAUAUCUCACAAUUUCAAGAGGAACAAGACAGUCCUUCUCUAAUGGCUGAAGAUCAACCAUCCUGCAGAAUAGUUUGAGAAGCGGUGAUCCCACUUCUAACAAAUUUGGCCUUCCCUUUUCAGAAACCACUUAAUAGAGGUAACUUUAAGCUGAAACAGAACAUGGUGCAACUUUUGAUCAGCAGUGGACAGUUUAUGGGUCUUUCACAUGAAAAUCCACAAGUCCAUUUGCAAUACAUCCUUGAGAUCAGUGACACCUUUAUCCCUACGGGUGUGUCAACUAAUUAUGUUUGGCAGACAAUAUUCCUCUUUUCACUAGUAGGGGAAGCAAAGAAGUUGUUGAACGCUGAGCCGGCAAGUUCAAUUACAACUUGGGAUAACUUAGUCCAGAAAUUCCUCAUUCGAUUUUCCAUCUGGCAAGACUAUGAGACUGUGCAAUGAGAUUGUUUACAUCAAACAGAAGCCAGAUGAGAACUUAUAUAAUGCAUGGGAGAUAUUCAAAGCCCUUUUUCAGGACUGUCCACAUCAUCAACAGUCCCGUAGGGUAGUGCUCAAAAUUUUGUCGAGGCACUUGAUCAUAACACAAAAAUUUUACUAGAUUCAGCAGCAGGUGGUCAAGAAUUGGAAUUGAUGUAUGAUGAGUUGUAUACCUAUUGAACCGAAUCGCUCAAGGAAAUCUUGAAUGGUAUUCAAACUCAAGAAAUGAUACAAAGAAGAUUGCAGGUGUGUUGUAAGUGGACCAGUUUACUGCUUUAUCUACCCAGAUUACUGCACUGCAAAAAUUAGUUGAAUACUAAGUUCAAAAAUAUGAUGUUGGGGGUUACACAUCCUGUAGCAAUAAUGAAUGCAAUUCAACAGACAAGUACUUUAUGUGUGGUCCAUGGCAAUAAAGACCAUUUUAUAGAUAUUUGUGUUGCCAAUCCUGAGUCACUGGUGUUUGUGGGAAAUGUUCAAAGGCUGAAUUUUGGGAACGCCAACAAUUUAAAGCGGUAGACUCAGCCACCAAAUAAACCAUGGAACACUCAACAACAACAGUUUCAGUAGUAAUAGGUUCAACGGAAUAGGCUACUAGAAAUAUGGAAGAGAUGUUGAUACAAAUUUUAGCUUUUUUAGAAUAAUUAAAAAAGAUAUAAAGAUCCAACAAGAAGAUAUGAAGAGCCAACAAGCAACUACGAGGAACUUGGAGUUGCAGAUAGGUCAGCUAGAAGUAAGACAAAAUAGCAGGCCUCAGGGUGGUUCGCUAAAUAAUACUGAAAAUCCUAAAAAAGUAAUGAAAAUACUUUGAGGAGUGGUUAAAAUCUGAAUGAAAAACCUCUAAAGAAAACUAAGGAGGUAGAUGCUGAUUUAGUUCCUAAAUAGGUAGAUGACCAAUCGGCUAAAAAUUUGAGGAAGUCUAAGUACUAGAAAAUUAAAGUUGCUGAACAGGUGAUGCAGAGACUGCUACCACUGUUCGCAUAAAGACUUAUAAAAGCAAAGGAGGAUGCAUGCUUCAAGAAGUUCUUUGACAUGUUCAGAGAGCUUCACAUUAACUUUCUUAUUUUAGAUGUUUUACAGGGUAUGCUCAAGUAUUCUAAGUAUUUGAAGGAUGAGGUCACUAACAAAAUUAAGUUGCAGUAUAAUAAGACAGUACCACUCACUAAAGAGUGCAACUCUAUGGUGAUGUAGAAGAUGCUUAAAAAGAUCAAAUAUCAUGGAAGAUUCACCCUCCCUAUUUAAAUUAGCAAUAAUGAGGUGGUCCAUGCACUGAGUGAUUUGGGGGUGAAUGUCAACUUGAUGGCCCUAUCUUUAUUUAACAAGAUGGGACUAGGAAAGCCGAGACCAAGCACUGUAAUACUUCAAAUAGCAAACCAGAUAAUAUCCCAUCUCAAAGAAAUCAUAGAGGGUGUUCUCGUCAAGGUUGGUAAGCCUAUUAGUCCUAUUUAUUUUAGUGUUUUGGAUUUAAAGGUCGAUCAAAGAAUGCCAAUCAUCUUGGGAUAACUAUUUUUGGUAAUGAGAGGGGCUUUGAUGGAUGUGAGAGAGAGUAUGCUCAUAAUGAGGAUGGAUGAUGAAGAGGCAGUUUUCUGUGGAGUCUAUUCCAUAGAAGACCUCUUUAAACUUCCUGAUUGAGCAGCCCAUGACUCAAAUAUCUAAGCCCAAAAUAAUGUAGAUUGAUGAGACUAAAAAGGCUAUUGUUAAGAGAGUUGUUGACCUUGAGAUUUCACACUCAAGAGUUUAGGAAUGAAUAAGAAGAUGGAGUCUGAGUGCAAGGAAGAGGUUGAAGGAAAAUGGAUAAUCUGCAUAUUAGGUCAUGCCAAGACACUAAAUCAGGUGCUUCUUGGGAGACAACCUAAGUUAAGGUAUGUUUUAUUUUAGCUUUUUAGAUUUUACUUCACAAUUUUUUUUUGUUGAGUCACAGGUUGAUGAGAAGUCUUAGUACCAAAAAACCUGAGCUAAGGAGCAUGGCAAAGACUAAGUGUGGGCUCCAGUAACCUCUUUGAUGUAUUAGAUGUUAAUAGCUAGUCCUAAAGGCCUCAGGGAGUAUUUCUAUCUCUACUUUUAAGUAUACUUUAGGGACAAAGUAGAUUUUUAAGAGCGGAGAAGGGCAAUUCCCUAUUUUUGGAGCAAUUUAAUAGUUUUUAUGUUAGGAAUAAGUGUGUGAUGUUCUUGUUGGUGUUAUAUGUGAUUGUAUGAUGUAAGUGUUUUUGUUGAAAAAGCUUGUUGAUUAUGUGAAUUACUACUUUUGAGACUCCAAGGCUUAUUAUUAUGACUCUUGUCCUUGUUGACUUAAUGUCAAAUUUAUGUGAUUCCUUAGUUAAGAGUAUAUGAUGAUCCUACUUGAGUUGAGCAUGUUCCAUGUGUGUGUAAGUUUCUUGUAUAUUCCUUAUUAUACUUGAUAUCUAGAACUUGCCUGGUGUGUGCGCAAAGUGAAAUAAAGAGUGUGGGAUUAGGAUAUGAUUUAGGCAUUUCUUUGAUAUCCAUGUUUCAUAACUUUUUUUGACCUACCCUCAUGCAUAAUCCUAUUUAACCCCAUUAAGCCUUUAGCCUAUUUUCUUUGACAGCCUUAUUUAUAGCCUAAUUUCCUUUCUUGAUUGACCAUAAUUUUAUCCAAAGAUCUUAAGCGCUUUACUUGAAAUAUAAUUGAGUUAAGGAGUUGGAAGUUCAAGAAGAAAAAGAUAAAGUUGAAGCCCCUAGUAAUAGCUAUUGGUCUUAAAAAAAUUAUAUGUGUUGUGGUUGGGAGUCGAGUAAUGAAAAGAAUAAUUUUUUUUCAAGUUGAAUAAGUUGGGCAUAGAUAAUACUCUUACCAUAGUAUAUGUGAGUGACCUUAAUAAGAUGGAUCAAAACAAAAGAUAAGGGUUGACAGAAAUGUUGUAAUUAGGUUGUUAAAGGUGAAUUAGUUGUAUAAUGUGAUGUAUUAAAGUGCUUAGGGAAUAUAGUCAUUAUUACGGGCCAAAAUAGUUCUUCCCCGCCCCUUAGCCUACAUUACAACCCUUAAAGACCUAUUUGAUCCUAAGGUUCAUCAUUCUGAUAUUAGUGGAGUACUACACUAAGGACAAGCAUAUGGUUCAUCUUGUGUAACUUGUGAAUUUCUUUUUAGAAUGAGCACAAUUUGAUUCUUGUAGCCAUUCUGUGAUAAAUUGCUUUUGUGUGAGUAAUUAUGAGUACCUCUAUGAUUGUAAAAAAACAUGUUUAAUGAUAGUUGGGUGAAUUUUAUGAUGUCUUUUAUUGAACAAUAUGUAUGAGUUCCAAUUAGGUGAGUCAAUUCUUUAGGCUAGGAUAUUUUGAUGUAGUGUUCUUGAAAUUUCAAUUGUAUUUGUAACAAGCUUAGUGUAGAAACUUGCAUUCUGUGUAGUCAUUGCAGUACUAGCUUGAGUGUCUUUCUUGUAGUAUAAGUGUAGGGUCACUUCAGCGUAUGAUACUUAGAGUAAAAAGUUGUUUAACGAGGAACAAGGUUUUAAGUUUGGGGUGAUGAUCUGUGGUGGAUUUAUGCGCCUUAGUGUUGUUAUCCUAGCUUAUUUAUCCUUGUUUUGAGGAAAACUAGUGUUACUAAUGGGUUAAUAUGGGCAUAAACAAUAAUAUAAGUGUUUAAGUAUGUGAUUACAAUGUUAAAAGGUGUUUUCACAAAAGUUUGGAACCAAUUCGGUCAUUUAGAGUUCUAAUGAGAAAACUAGUGUUACUAGCUUAAGCUUGGUGUUGUUCUAGUCUAUCUCGAUGGAUAAUAAUGUGUUUAAUGAGUUCCUAAUGGUAUGAGUUUGUAAUUAUGGGUGUAAAAACUUUUUUAUAAUGUUCAAGGGUCAACUGAAUCAAGCGAAGAGUCAAAACAUUAAGUUAAAAAUCAACAUGGGCAAACAUAGUCUUAGCUUGAGUUUCUAGUUCACCGUUCUUGAUAUUGUGUUGUUUUGAGAUGCAAUCCAUGGUUUAUGAUGAUUUAAUAUGCUUGGUGAGUUUAUUUCUAUGAUAUAAUAAGGAUAUAAAAGAUGGAUAUGAAGAGGAAACAACACCACAAGGCUUAGGAUAGAGGACAAAUGCACAAAAUAAAUUUGGAUGUCAAAAAUGAAAUUCCAGUGAAGCCUCGCUUUGAGAUCGCAUCACGACCUCCACUCUACCUUUCCAGGACUCACUUCACGAAUUCCACUCAACCUUUAUAGGCCUUGCGUCAUGACCCCAUCUCCAAGAUCCUGCCCAACACGUCGUACCACCCAUUCCACACUGGGCCAAACACCUUUGCUUAUAAAUAGGACUCAUGUAUUAGUUGUUUGAAACCUUGGAUGUCGUGGAGCUUUGUAUAGGGACUGAUAAAAAAUUAUUUUAGGGUUUAUAUCUCUUUACUUUAGUUUUUUAAUGGAUUAUAUCAUGUAUUCAAUUACUUUGAUUACGGUUAUGCCUAUUAGUGGCUAGACUCCCCCUUUCAGGGGUUAAGGCCAAGAACAUGUUUCUUUAGCUUUGAAUUGAGUUUGUUUGGAUUUAUUAUCAUAUUUUUUUUGUUUUUUAGUUGACCCUUAGAAUACAUAAAUUGUCGACUUUGUAAACUCAGGAGGGCGAAUAAGAAGAUAGAACAUGGGGAUAUAUAGAGUAAGGUUCUCAUUUUUUUAUGAAAAAAGGAAUUUGAAUUCGAAAAUACAAUAGAGAUAUUCAUAAUAGCCUUGAUUGUUCACAUGUAGGAUGAUAUAUUAAUGCAUCUAAUUAUAUUAUUACAUCCUUACUCAAUGAUGUAGUUUUAAUGUCCAGAUAGGUAGAAGGUUAGAGGUUAGGAGACCAUGAUCAUACCAUAAACAGUACGAAUCAACAACCAAGAUAAGUAAUCUGACGAGCGAAGUUCAAUUGUGAUUAUUUGUAGUACUUUAACCCUUACUUUUCAUCCAAUAAUUGUCUGAAGUCUUUACUUGUCCGCAUUGCUUUAGUUUACUUUUAGUUAUAACUUUCAAAACUCUUUUGGUUACGAAUUCACUAGUUAAACUAGAAUUGGAUAGUUUCUUAACACAAGUCUCUGAGGGAUCAAUUUUCGGCUUUAUUUGAGGCCACUAUAUUACUUGGUGAGACCACAUACACUUGCGUGUGCGCUUGGGUGCAAUCAAAUUUUUUACGCCGUUAUCAGGGACUUGUAAUUAGCAACUAUUUUUGCUUUAGUUUUACUUUUUAGAUUUCUUUGGUGCUUUACUCUUGGUCUUGGUAUUGAAUUUUUAGGAAAUAGGUUUGCAGAGUAGUAAGUUGGCUAGGGAUACAGAUUUGGUUAAACCAAGCCCCAAACCUGAGUAAUGCAUCCAUCAACGAAUGAGAGAAGCAAUCCUUCUCCCUCAUAUCACAUAAUUUAAAGAGGAACAAGACAAUUAUGCUCUAAUGACUGAAGAUUAACCAGCCCGCAAGACAGUUUGAGAAUUAGCAAUCCCACUUCCGAAAAAUUUGACCCCCCCUUUUUUGAAAUCGGCUGUAGGAGGUAACUUUGAGCUGAAACAGAACAUGGUGCAACUUUUGAUUAGUAGUGGACAGUGUAUGGGGCAUUCACAUGAAGAUCCAUAAAUCCAUCCAUGGAACUUCCUUAAGAUCAGUGACACAUUCAUCCCUAUGGUUGUGUCAACUAAUUAUGUUAGGCUGGCAUUAUUCCCCUUUUCACUGUUGGGGGAACCGAAUUAGUGGUUGUACACUGAGCUGGUAAGUUCAAUCACAACUUUGGAUAAAUUAGCUCAAAAAUUAAUCAUCUGAUUCUUUUCAUCUGGCAAGACUAUGAGACUGUGUAGUGAAAUUGUGUGCUUCAAACAAAAGCCAGAUGAGAACUUAUAUCAUACAUGGGAGACAUUCAAAGCCCUUCUUUGGGACUAUCCACAUCAUCAAUAGUCCAAUGAGAUACUAGCUCACACUUUUAUUGAGGCACUUGAUCACAACAUGAAUAUUUUUCUAGAUUCAGCUGCAGGUGGUCAAGCAUUGGAAUUAACGUAUGAUAAGCUCUAUGCCUUGUUGAACCAAAUUUCACAAAGGAAUCCUGAAUGGCAUUUGGACUUAAGAAAUGCUACAAAGAAGGUUGCAAGAGUAUUAGGGUAGGACCAAUUUAUUGCUAUAGCUGCCUUACUUGUUGCACUGCAAAAUUAGUUGAAUACUUAGUACAGAAAUAUGAAGUUGAAGGUUACAUAGCCUGCAGCAAAAGUGAAUGUAAUUCAACAGAUAAGUACUUGGUGCGUGUUUUAUGGCAAUAGCGACCAUUUUGUAGAUAUGUGUGCUACCAGUACUGAGUUAGUGAUGUUUGUGGGAAGUGUUAAAAAGUCGAAUUAUAGGAAUGCCUACAAUUUAAAGUGGAAGACUCAGCCACCAAAUCAACUAUGGAAUGCUUAACAACAACAGUUUCAGCAUUAAUAGGUUUAAGGGAAUUAGGCUACUAGUAAUAUGGAAGAGAUGCUGAUAUAAGAUUUUGCUUUUCAAGCAAAAUUGACAUCAGAUAUAAAGAUCCAUAUAGAAUAUAUGAAGAUAUAGCAAGCGGCUAUAAGGAGCUUUGAGUUGUGGAUAGGUAAGCUAGCUGCAAAAAAAAAUACCAAGCCUCAAGGUAGUUUUCCAAGUGAUAUUGAAAAUCCUAAACAAGUAAUGGUAAUCACUUUAAGAAGUGGUAAAGAGCUUAAUUCAGAACCUCCAAAGAAAAUUAAGGAGGUAGAUGCUGAUUUGGUUCCUAAACAGGUAGAUGACCAAGCUGCUAAAAAUUUGAGGAAGUUUGAGUACUCAAAAACAAAAAUUACUGAAUAAGUGAAGCAAAGACUACCACCACUGUUCCCGCAAAGACGUAGAAAAGCAAAGAAAGAUGCAUGCUUGAAGAUUUUCUUUGACAUGUUCAGAGACCUGCACAUUAACCUUCCUCUUUUAGAUGUAUUAUAGGGAAUGCCCAAGUACGCUAAUUACUUAAAGGAUGUGAUCACUAAUAAAGUUAAAGUGCAAUAUGAUAAGACCGUAGCACUCACUAAAGAGUGCAACUCUAUGGUAAUGCAUAAGAUGCAUCAAAAGAUCAAAGAUCAAGGGAGAUUCACCCUCUCUGUUUAAAUUAGAAUCAAUGAGGUGGUCCAUGAACUGAGUGAUUUAGGCAAAAAUAUCAAUCUGAUGCCCCUAUUAUUGUUUAACAAGUUGGGAACGAGAUAGCCGAUACCCAGUACUCUGAUACUUCAAUUGGAAAACCAAACAAUAUCUCACCCCGAAGGAAUCAUAUAGGGUGUUUUCAUCAAGGUUAGUAAGUUUAUAAUUCCUUUUAAUUUUAUUGUUUUGGAUUUUAAGGCUGAUCAAAGAAUGCCAAUCAUCUUGGGACAUCCAUUUUUGGUGACAAAAAGAGAUUUAAUAAAUGUGAGAGGGGGUACGCUUACAAUGAGGAUGGAUAACGAAUAGGUAGUUUUGAAGGUUUACAAACUGCUCAACACACUAUCCCACUAUAAUGAUUUAUGCAUGAUUACUGUGGUUGAAGGGGAUAAGUGUGGGGUGGUGGAGUUUAUUCCAUAGAAGACCUCUUCAGACUUCCUUAUUGAGUAGCCCAAGACUCCACCACCUAAGCCCAAAAUGAUGUAGAUUGAUGAGCUUGAAAAGGAUAUUGUUGAGAGAUUUGUUGAGCUUGAGAGUUCACACUCAAUAGAUUAGAAAUGAAUAAGAAGAUAGCAUCCAAGUGUGAGGAAGAGGUUGAAGGAAAAUGGAUAAGUUACAUAUUUGGUCUUGCCACAACACUAAAUUAGGCACUGCUUGGGUGACAACCUAAGUUAAGAUAUUUUUUAUAUUUAGCUUUUUAGUUUUUACUUCACUAGUUUUUAUUUUUGUUGAGUCACAAAUUGAUAGGACGUUUGAGUAUUAGAAAACCAGAGCUAAUGAGCACGGAGAAGACUAAGUGUGGGUCCCCAGACCACCUUAAAGUAUAAGAUGCUACUAUCUAGGCCUAGAGGCUUCAGGGAGUAUUUCUAUCACUAUUUUUAAGUAUAUUUUAUGGAUAAAGUAGAUUUUUAAGUGUGGGGUGGGUAAAUUCCCAGUUUUAGGAGUAAUUUAAUAUUUUUUAUGUUGGGAAUAAGUGUGGGAUGUUCUUGUUGGUUAUAUAUGUGAUUUCAUGAUGCAAAUGUUUUGGUUAAAAAAGCAUGCUGAUUAUGUGAAUUACUAAUUUUGAGAAUCCUAAGCUCAUGAUUAUGACUCUUGUACUUGUUGGAUUAAUGUUGAAUUCAUGUAUUGUUUAGUUAAGAGUAUAUGAUGAUCCUACUUGAGUUGAGCAUGUGCCAUGUGUGUAAGGUUUUUGUAUAUUCGUUGUUAUACUCGAUGUCAAGAAUUUGCCUGGUGUGUGCACAAAGCGUAAUAAAGAGUUUGUGUUGAGGAUAUGAUUUAGGAAUUUCUUUGAUUGCCAUGUUUCAUACCUUUCUCUAACCAACCGUCGUGCAUAAUCCUAGUUAACCUCAUUGAACCUUUAGUCUAUUUUCUUUGGUAGCCUCAUUUAUAUCCUAAUCCCCUUCUUUGAUUGAUGCUAAUUUGAUCCAAAGAUCUUAAGCUCUUUAGUUGAAAUUUAAUUGAGUUAAGAAGUUGGAAAUUCAAGAAGAAAAAGGUGAAAUUGAGAACCCUAGUAAUAACUAAUUCUAUUCAAAAAAAUGAUAUGUGUUGUGGUUGGGAAUCAAUAAUGAAAAGAAUAAAAAAUUAUUCAAAUUGAAUAAAUUGGGAUAGACAAUACUCCCACCAUAGUGUAUGUGAGUAAGCUUGAUAAGAUGGGGAAAAACAAAAGAUAAGGAUAGACAGAAGUGGUGUAAUUAGGUUGUUGAAGGUGAAUUAGUUGUAUAAUGUGAUGUAUUAAAGAUCUUAGGGAAGAUAGGCAUUAUUACUAGCCAAAAUAGUUCCUACUCGCCCCUUAGCCUACAGUACAACCCAUAAAGACCUAUUUGAUCUAAAGCUUCAUUAUUAUUAUAUUAGAGGAGUACUACACUAAGGACAAUAAUAUGGUUCAUCUUAUGUAACUUGUGAAUUCCUUGUGAGAGUGAGCGCAAUUUGAUUCUUGUACCUAUUAUGUGAUAAAUUGCUUUUGUGUGAGUAAUUAUAGGUAACUCUCAUAUUGUGAGGGAACAUGUUUAAUGACAUUUGGGUUAAUUUUAUGAUGUAUUUUACUGAACAAUAUGUAAGAUUUGCCAAUUAGGUGAGUCAAUUAUUGAGUCUAGGAUGUUUUGAAAUAGUGUUCUUGAACUUUCAAUUGUGUUUGUAACAUGCUUCGGGUAGAAACCUGCAUUCUGUGUAAUCUUUGUAGUACUAGUUUGAGUGUCUUUCUUGUAGUAGAAGUGGAGGGUCACCUCAGCAUAUGAUGCUUAGAGUAAAGAUUUGUUAGAGUAUUAACAAGGUUUUAAGUGUGGUGUGAUGAUCUGAGAUGGAUUUAUACGCCUUAGUAUUGUUAUCCUAGCUUAUUUAGCCUUUGAGGACAACUAGUGUUCUUAAUGGGUUAAUAUUGAUUUAAAAAAGCAUCAAGUGUUUAAUUAGGUGAUUACAAUGUUUAAAUAUGUUUUCAACCAAGUUUGGAACCAAUUUGUUUAUUUAGAGUUCAAACGAGAAAACUAGUGUUACUAUCUUAAGCUAGGUGUCGUUCUAGUCUAUAUCAAUGGAUUAUAAUGUGUUUAAUGAGUUACUAAUGGUAUGAUUAUGUAAUUAUGUGUCUAUAAACUUUCUUAUAAUUUUCAAUGGUCAAUUGAAUCAAUCCAAGAGUCAAAAUAGUAAGUUAAAGAUCAAUGUCGGAAGGCCUAGUCUUAACUUGAGUUUCUAGUUCACCAUCCUUGAUAUUGUGUCGUUUUGAGCUCUAAUAUUUGGUGUAUGAUGAUGUAUAAUUCUUGUUGAGAUGAUUUAGAUGAUAUAAUAAGGAUAUUCAAGCUUUACCUGAAGUUAAAACAACACCGCAAGACUUGGGAUAGAGGAUAAAUACACAAAAUGAAGUUGGACGUCAAAAGUGAAAUACCAGUGAAGCCUCGCGUUGAGCUAGCAUCACGACCUCCCCUCCACCUUUCAAGGCCUUGAAUAUCGACCUACACUCCACCUUUCUAAGCUUUUUUUCGUGACCCCAUAUCCAAUAUCCUGCCCAACGCGUCGCACCACCCAUUCCACACAUGGCCAAACGCCUUUCCUUAUAAAUAGAACUCGUGUACUAGUUGCUUGACACCUUGGACGUCUUGGAUCUUUUGAGAGGGGCUGAAAAAAAUUUAUUUUAGGGUUUAUAUAUAUUUACUUCAUCUUUUUAAUGGAUUAUAUCAUGUAUUAAAUUACUUUGAUUAUGGUUAUGUCUAUUAGAAGCUAAACGCCCCCUUUCCGAGGUUAAGGCCAAGAACAUGUUUACUUUCUCUAUGAAUUGACUUUGUUUGGAUUGCUUAUCAUAUUUGGUUGUUUGUUUAUCCUUGUUAUAACUAUUUUAAGGAUUUUUAACCCUUAGAAUACAAAUAUUGUCAACCUUGUGAACUCGGGAGUGGGAAUAGGAAGAUAGAAUAUGGGGAUAGAUAGAGUAAGGUUCUCAUUCUUUUAUGAAAUAAGGAAGUUGAAUUAGCGAAUAGGGUAGGGAUAUACCUAGAAUCCUUUCUUGGUUCAUUUGUAGGAUGGUAUCUUAAUGCAUAUAUUUGGAUUAUUACAUCCUUGCUCAAUGAUAUAGUUGUAAUGUCCAGUUAGGUAGAAGGUUAGAGGUCGGGAGACCGUGAUCAUACGAUAAACCCUAUGAAUCAACAACCAAGAUAAGUUAUCUAACGAACGAAGUUCCAUAGUGUAGUAUGAUUGUUCAUAGUGCUUUAGCACCGGGUUUUCAUCCAUUGAUUCUCCAAAGUCUUUACUUGUCUUCAUUAUUUUAGUUUACCUUUAAUUAUAACUUUCAAAACUCUGUUGGUUACAAUUGCACUAGUUAAUCUCAAUUGUUAAACUAGAAUUGGUUAGUUUCUUAAUAGAAGUCGCUGAUGGAUCGAUAUUAGGUUUUAUUUAAGGACACUAAAUUACUUGGUGAGACCAAAUACACUUGUGUGUGCGCUUGGGAACGAUCAACAAGAGUCAAACCAUAAAAACUUUACCUUUUUCUAGGUCAACUAAGUCAACAGGGUAGCUAUAGUCAAGAUAAUCUCCACAAAUCUCCUAUAGUAACCAGCUAAACCUAAGAAGCUCCAAAUAACGGUUGAAGUCGUAGGACUAAGCCACUUCUUAACCAUUGCAACCUACUGUGGAUCCACCAUGGUCCCUUCUCUAGAAAUGACAUGACCCGUAAAAGUAACAACUUUCAAUUAGAAUUCACACUUUUAAUACUUAGCAUACAAAUGUUGAUCUUUCAAGGUUUGUAACACAAUACAAAGGUGAUGGCAUGAUCAGUCUCACCCUUGGUUUACUCCAGAAUAUCAUCUAUAAAUACGAUGAUGAACAAAUCUAGAAACUAAUGGAAUACGCUAUUCAUCAAGUCCAUGAAUACCGUUGGGGCAUUAGUCAAACCAGAAGACAUGACUAAGAAUUCAUAAUGACCAUACCAGGUUCAGAAGGCAGUCUUAGGGAUAUCAACCUCCCUGAUCUUUAGCUGAUGAUAACUAAACCUAAUAUUAAUCUUAGAGAAACAUCUAGAACCUUGAAGCUGGUCAAACAAAUCAUCAAUUCGAGGAAGAGGAUACUUAUUCUUCCCUAUAACCUUAUUCAACUGAUGGUAAUAGAUGCACAUUCGAAGGUAACCAUCCUUCAUACAAACGAACAAAAUAGGAGCACCCCAAGAAGUCACACUAGGACAUAUAAAACCUUUGUUGAAGAGGUAUUUCAACUGCUCCUUAACCUCCUUCAACUCAGCUGGAGCCAUUCUAUAAGAAAAGAUAGAGAUAGGAUGAGUGUUCAAAACAAGGUCAAUCUAAAAAUCACUCUCCUUAACGGGAGGGACACCAGGAAGAUCGUCAGGAAAAAGCUAGGGAAAUUCACUAACAAUGGGAACGAAUGUCAAUAAAGGACCCUUUGAGUUUGAAUCUUUAACCCAGACCAAAUGAUAGUGAAAUCCCUUAGAAAUCAAUAUCCUAGAUUUAAGAUAUGAUAUGUACCUUCUCUUAGGAACUAGAUAACCCCCUUCUCACUCAAUGACCGAAUCAUUAGGGAAUUUAAACAUAACUUUACGGAUUCAACAAUCUAAGGAGAAAUAGAACAAAUAUAACCAAUCCAUCCCUAAUAUGACAUCAAAAUCGACUAUGUUUAACUCUGUCGAAUCUACCAGAGUUUUUCUAGCACAAACAGAUAACACACAAUCCCUAUAGACUCUUCUAGCAACCACAAAGUCACCCACCAGGGUUGAAAUAGAAAAAGUAUUAGGGAUAUACUCAGGAUCGAGACAAAAAUACACAGCCACAAAUGGGGUCACAGAAUAAAGAGUAGACCCUGGAUCAAGCAAGUAACACACAUCAUGAGAAAAAAGUCAUAAUAUACCAAUAAUAGCAUCGAGAGAUGUCUCAGAGUCCUAGCGGGUAGCAAGAGCAUAUAAGCAAUUUCGGCUAGUGCCUGUACCAGAAGUAGAAAUAGCACCCUUUGUUAAAGCUGAUGAAGUGGCAACAUGAAUCUUAUUUUCCCCCAAAGAAACCUUAGAAAGACCAUCUCUUUGCAAAUAAAUAGAGUAAUAAUAUUUAAAACACCUGUUCCUCCUUUAUUCAUAAAACUCAUAAUGCAUUUAACUGCAGAAUCUAUAAGGAGGGUCUGAUGGAGCGUACUAAGUAUCACCAGCCUAAGAUUAGGCACCCUAUGACCUAAACCCACUAUUCUACAAAAAACGACACUCACCUAGCAACUUUGGAUAAGGAUCACUAGCCAUGGAGUAGGAACCAGAACUUCCCCACUUCUUCUUAGACCACUAUCCACCAUGUCUACCACUCUGCUGUUGACCUCCACCCUGAUUAAAAAAUUUAAACUUCUUAUUCUGUCUUUCCCCUAUAUCUGCCUGCUACUUCUUCUCUUUCUCAACCUGUAGUAUAAAUAUAACCAAUCUAGAGAUAUCCAUAUUCUUAUUCAACAAGGUAGCCUUACUCUUUAGAAUCAAACCAGGGGACAAUCCAAAGGCAAACUUUAUCAUUCUAGCCCCCAUGCUAGACACUAACUCAUGAGCUUAUUAGGACAAUAAUGGAAUCUCAAGGCAUACUCCUUGAACGUUAUCCUACCUUGCUUAAGAUUAAAAAACUCUUUUGCUUUUGCCUUCCUCAACUCCUGAGGAAAGAAGAAGUCCAGAAAAGUAUUAGAGAAAUCAUCCCACAAUAUAAAUUCGGCAUCAUCUCCCCUAGACCAUUCCCAUUCCUCAUACCAUUAGUAGGAUACAUCCUCUAGUUAAAAGACAGUGAAUUCUACACCCUCCAUAUUAGUGGCAUGAAUAACACAAAAGAUUUUCUUCAUCUCUUUAAUGACACCAUGAGGAUACUCCUUAAGCUUAACACCAGUGAACACAGAAUGACUCAACCUCAUAAACUGGCCAACCCUUAUGGCCUCAAAAGAUGGGGUAACUAAAGCUACAAGCUCAGACUGAGAAGCUACUAACUUAGAUAACAUAUGAAUGGACAGACAAAAUUCUGCAUUCAACACAUCAUCCUGAGGAGCUCGAGGAGGAUUAGAGGGGACCAAUAGAACUGUGGGAGGGCAAUCAAGAACUGGAACCCUAGAUCAAGUCGUACCCCAUACGUAGGGCGUGUCCUAUAAGUGUUGUCCUCAAGCAGGACAGAUGAGUUUCCAUGAGCAUCAGAUCAUGAGGGAGGUAUGAUCUGUCAAGUGAAUAAAUGGGAAUUAGAGAGACUCAAGACCUUAAACUCUCUAGCUUAAAAUAGAACAUCAAGAAUGGAAAACAUUUCUAAAUAUCUCAUAGCCUCUUCUUUAUAGGUGUGGGGUGCACUAUACACCCAUAAAAGAUGCUCUUCUCUCUAUGACUUUUGUCGAACUACUGACCAUGAACCUAGUGCUCUGAUAUUAAUCUGACAUGACCUAAACCCGAGCUUGGCCGUGUCGGGUAAAUCAAGUCCAACUAGGAUUGAAGACUAAUAUCUCCUAAAACUAACCUCCAAAAGAAGUUUUCUAUGGUCGAUACCAAAUAUAGAAACCCAACUAGGUUGGGGAUCGAUCCCAUAGGGAAAACAUUGAACAAUUGCUUAACUUGAUGUAAUCCACGAGAAGUGCAGAAAAGUAAAUGUGAUAUUUAGAAGUAAUCAGUAAAUAGUAGCAGAAUCUUGAUUGUUUUGAGUUGUAAACAAUAGAAGAAGAACACUAGGCUUGUGGUCCCCCUGGAUUCUCAACUUCAUAAAUUUCUCGUGUUUAACCCACAUAUUCUGUAGCUUUGAAAGUCAACAAGAUAUGUAUUAUUAACAAUCUUGUGAACAUGUUGAUAAAUCUCACCCUUUACUUUGUGAGUCUCAGGAUGUCACCUUAUUUCUCCUUAUCAUGAUUUCAGUUCAACUUUUACCUUUUGAGUCUAAGAUGAUUAGAUGAGAUGAUGGAAUGAUAACAAGAUGGAAUUGAAUCUCAACUUACUGUCUUAAUCCUCUUUUUCUAAUCAUAAUAUCCCUUAUGAGGAUGUUUGUAAAUACAAGCUAUCCCCAAGCUAUUGUAUUAUCUAUGAGGUCAAUUAUUGUGAAGAAGAUUAAGAUACAUGUAUAAAUCCUAGAAUAUAUCAAUCUCACACUUUCUUUACGUAGCUAAUUUGCAGGGUUCCCACAACCCUAGUUAGGUAAAUUAGCCGCUCAUGUUUAUGCAAGAACCCAUGAUAAUCAGUAAAGAAUUCAUGAAAUUAAUUGCAAAAGACAAGAUAAAUAAAAUCCAAAAUCUUUAAUUAAAUAAUAACCCAAAAUCUCAAGAAUAAUUAUAAUGUACGUAAAAGUAGUAAGAAUAAUGUUAAAGAGUGCAACCUAAUAAAAUAUGAACCCUAUGGUACUUAUAGUCUCUCAAAAAUACUCAGAAAUUCUAAUAAAAAUAGAAAAGGAAAAGUAAUUUUGGCACACGGUAUGACUCAUUCGUCCACUCAUAAGGUCUUCUUAUGAGUCAUGCUAUGCCUCUAGUAUCCACUCUAGUGUUUAAUCUUCCAGUCCUCAACUUUUGAUUCUUCGUAUGACUUCUGUUCAAGAGUUGUACCUUGACCAUAAAACUCUUGGCCUUUUCUUGUAUCCACCUGGGACUUCUGUCUUUCCAAGCUUGGACAUAGGUCUGCUUACUAUUGGAUCAUUUGAGUCGUACUCAGACUUCUAAUUCAUAUUCUUCUAAGACUUCAACUCUGAAUUCCUUCCUUGGUUUCUGUUAUCUUUAUGAUUUUUUGAUAUGACCCGUAUCCUCAUAUUACGACUCGAAUUCUCCCGUUGUAUCUUCUCUAUACUUAGUUUCUCAGUUGGCUUUUGCUUCUGUUGUGUUUAUGGGUCAACCUAUGAGUCGUAUGAUGUGUUGAUGACUCGUAUCUUUUACAGUAUCAGUAUUUUUUAGGUUUCUUCUUCCAAUUUAAUUCCAACACUAUAAUAGACUUGUUUCACCUAUAAGAAGCAACAAACCACAUCAUAUCAACCAAAAUAACCUAAGUACAAGCAUAAUUUCAUUGUUUUAAGCAUCGAAAUUAUGUUUCCGUGACACAUCAACACCCCUAACUUAGAAGUUUUCGGGUCCUCAGGCAAAACAGAAAUCAAAGACUAUCAAAACACCUUGAUGCUUUAAUAUAAAGAUCCUAUGAUACCUAUGACAGUGACUUUUCAAUUCAACUUUCAACAAUUCUUUUCCCCUCCUAGUUUUAACUUUUCAUGAUAUAAACUGCGUAUAACAAUUUAGCACACAAAGAAACACACAGGAAUCCAAUGAUAGAAUCACAUUAGUAACAGACAACUGGGCAUAGACACAAAUCACAUCAACCAAAUAGUCUAGCAAUCUAGCAAUAUAACCCAUGUGGUCUUACAGUCAAAGAAAUCCCAUUCACUCCAUACUUUCAAGAAGACUUUUGAAUAGACGACUACAAAAAUGUGACCCACCGUCCCUAAUGAUAGAAAGUGGCAUGUCAAACCAAGAAAAUAUGUGUUUUUUCAAGAAUGCAAUGACACUACGUACUUCAUUGUUGGGGAGAUCAACUGCUCCACCCAUUUGGAAAUAUAAUCAAAAGUCACCAGUAUAUGCUUCAUGCAAAAUGAACUCACAAAAUGACCCAUGAAGUCUAUACCCCAUAAAUCAAACAAUUCUAAUUAUAAAUAAGAGUCAUAGGAAGUUCAUGGCAUCUAGAGGUAUUACCUUGGAAUUGAUAUUGAUCAUAAACUGAAGCAAAAUCAUGAGCAUCUUUUUAGAUUGUUGGCCAAUAAUACCCAUAUUGCAAGAUUUUAUUGGUUGUGUGGGUUCCUCCACGAUGACCCCCAACUAGUGAGGAAUGACAAGCCUCAAGUAUGCUCAUCAUCUCCACCUUACAUAUACAUCUAUGAAUAAUCCCAUCUAAAUAAAUUCUAAAUAAAUAGUGUUGAUCCUAGAAAAAUUUCCUUACCUUAUGCAUAAACUUCUUUCUUUGUUGGAAAGAAAUAUCUUCUAGGACUAGAUCACUAGCUAGAUAAUUUGCAUCAUUUGCAAACCAUGGAAUUAGAUCUUGGGAAGCUUCCAAUAACUGUUCAUCUAGAAAACUAUCAUUAAUCGCGAGCCCAUUUUCAACUUUCUUAAUAGCAUCCUUCUCAAGUCUAGAAAAAUGAUCUGCAACUUGGUUUCUAUUGCAUAUAAAAUUAUUUCAGCAAUAUUACCCCCCUAAUUAGUCUAGGCUUUUCAUCCUUUUUCUUCAUCAAGUACUAUAAUUCUGCAUGGUUCAUGAGCACUAGUUCUUUUGUCCCAAUCAAGUAAGACCUAAACUUUUCAAAGGUAAAAACCACUGCCAACAGCUCUUGUUCAGUCACUGUGUAGUUCUUUUGAGCAGGGUUGAAUCACUUACUGGCAUAGUAGAUCAGAUGAAGAAUCUUUUCUUUUCUUUGGCCUAAGACAACACUAAGGCCACUCCACUUGCAUUACACAUAACCUCAAAAGGCAAGGACCAAUCAGGAGACAUGAUGAUUGGAGCCUACACCAACUUCUCAAUUAGGCUUUCAAAAGCCUUCAUACAAGCAUCAUAAAAAAACAUUUCACCUCCUUCUCAAGAAGUUUGCAAAGAGGGUUAGCAAUCUUCUAGAAAUACUUAAUAAAAUGCCUAUAAGAUCUUGUAUGCCCUAAAAGGCUUCAAAUCCCCUUCACAGAAAUUGGUGGAGGUAAUUUCUCAAUUACCUCUAUUUUGGAUCUGUCAACCUCUAUGUCCCCUUUUGAAAUCUUAUGCCCAAGCACAAUACCUUCUUUUACCAUGAAAUGGUAUUUCUCCCAAUUAAGUACCAAGUUGCAUUCCCUAAAUCUUCUAAGAGCAUUUUCCAAGUGAACUGGGCAGUCAUCAAAAGAAUCACCAAUGAUUGAAAAAUCAUCCAUAAAAGCUUCGAUGGUGUCUUCUACCAUGUGGCUAGCGCAUUACAUAACCAAAAUAGCAUUACAUAACCCAAAUAGCAUAUGCCUGAAUGCAAAGCUCCUAUAAAGACAUGUAAAAGUCAUAUUCUCUUGGUCCUUAGGUGCAAUAGUAAUUUGGUUGUAGUCAAAAUACUAUUAAGAAAAUAGUACCAUCCUAUGCCCGCAAGUCUAUCCAACAUCUAGUCUCUGAGAGCAUAGGAAAAUAGUCCUUCUAAGUCCAUGAAUUCAAUUCUCUAUAAUCUUACUCUCCAUCCUUUGACUAGCCUUAUUGGAACUAGCUCAUUCUUUUCAUUAGGCACAAUAGUAAUCCUGCUUUUCUUCAAAACAUAUUGUACUAGAAUGACCCACUUGCUAUCAAUAAUUUGAUACACUACACCAGCAUCCAACCACUUGAUUAUAUCUUUAUUCACACCUCCUGCAUAGGAGGAUUAAGUUGAUGCUGAUGUUCUAUACUUGGAAUACACUUCAAUUCAAGUUGAAUUUUAUAAGUACAUAACCUAGGUGGGAUACCCACAAUAUCUAUAAUGGACCAACCAAUGGCUCUUUUGAACCUCUGUAAUAUUGGUAAUAAUGCUUCCACUUCUAUAUUAAUCAAAUCUGUUGCAAUAAUUAUUGGAAAAAUAUUGUUGGCCCCCAAAAAUGCAUAUCCCAAAUAAUAAGGGAGGGCCUUCAACUCUAAGACCAAUGGUUUUUUAAUGACUGGACGAGUAGGUGGAGUAAUUUUAUUCUUUAAAUCCAAAUCAAGAUUCUUUGGUGCAUAAGUGUAUGAACCACUUACAUAAAUUGCACACACCAUAUCAUCAUACUCAUCAAUUCCAUCACUUUCAAAGUUAAUGAUCACGACUACUUUAUAUUUAACACUCAAUCUAUCUUCAAUUGGAACAACAUCACAAGCACCAUCCUAAAUAAGCACUAAAUUAACAUCAUAGAAUAAAUCCAUCUCCUCAUGAAGAUAAAUCACAGAUACCACUCUUAACUCAUCAAGAUACUUCAUGGAUUUGCAUAUAUUGAAUAUCACAUGUUUAUUAUUGAGUCUCAACAUUAGAUAUCCUAGCUCCAAAUCAAUCAAUAUCCUUCCUAUUAACAAGAAUAGUCCUUCCAAGAUAAUUGGGUCUUGAAAGUCCACUUCACGGUCUAAUAUCACAAAAUUAGCAAAAAAGAUAAAAAAAAUCCACCUUUACCAAUACAUUAUAUAGAAUACUAAUUAUUUUUUUUCAAAGUCCUUUCUGUUAUCACUAGUCUUAUCAUGGUUGGUCCAAACCUCAAUUAUUUAAACACUGCAAAUGGCAUACGGUUAAUGCUAGCACACAAAUCACAUAAUGCAUGAGUGAAAUUGAAAGAUUUAAUGGUGUAGGGUAUAGUGAAACAACCAGGAUUCUUUUUCUUCUGCACCAAUGAUCUUAUAACUACAACACUGCAAUGAUGAAUUUUGUCGACUGGCUCAUAACUGACUGACCUUUUCUUGGUGAUAAAAUCUUUUGUGAAUUUUGGAUAUCCUGCCAUUUGCUCUAAUGCCUAUACAAGAGGAAAUUAACUGAUAGAUCCUUUAACAUAGACAAAAACUUCUGAUACUUACCUUUUACUUGUUUUAUUUUUAUCCUUUGAGGAAAAUGAGGAUGAUGUCUCAGGAUAGGCUUCAAAAUAGGAUCCUCAACCUUAUCUUCUCCUGUGUAUUACUUGCUACUACUCUCCACCUCAACAAAAUCAUCUUCAUUCUUUUUUUCAUCAAUACUAGGUGUAGGCAAAAAUAUAGUAGCUUUACCAGUCUGAGUGGUAAUGGCAUAGCAGUGACAAUCAUUCUUUCGAUUUACAACCGUGUUACUAGGAAGAGUUCCAGGUUAUCUUUGAUUCUAUGUGGCCGACAUCUGGCCAUACAGAAGUUCCAGUUGUUUGAUUGCAGUAGCAUGUGACUUAACUUUCUGAUUCAGCCUGUAUAGGUCUUCCUUAAUCUCCUUAAGAUAGCUCUCUUGACUUUCUUUCUCUUUGACAAGUUUUGACAAUAUUUUCUUCAUUCUAGACUCAGUAUCUCAACUAUCUGGUGGAACAUACUUGUCACUCUUCUUCUUGUAGUCAUUUUUCAUCUUCCAAUCACUAUUUCUCUCUACUUUUAUCUUUAUAUAUGUUAUUAUAAUAGUUUCAGCCUUUAUUACCUUGCCCUUGGGCUAAGAAAUAUACCAACCUACGAUCAAGAUACUUCGAUUCCUCUUCAGAUUCAAUCUCAAAAGUUCUAGAAUUAGAUCCCUAUACUGCAACUACAUUCACUUUCUCAACACUCAUUAUUGUGAAUUGUUUUGUAAGCAGCCUAAUAUAUGUCUAAAGUUUUGCAACCUCUCAUGAUACAAAAUCUUUACCAGCUCUAUAAUCAUUUACUGCUCCAAUAUCAUAUGUACCUGCACCAUGCUCAACAUCUCUAGUAUGCCAACCUUUAUUGGUCAUUAAAAUAUCAUCAAGCAUAUCCUGUGCAGUAUCCCACCAAAGAAUCAUAAAGACACCUCCCAAAAUCAUAUCUUCUAUUGAUGUAGAACUGACGUUCAGUGAUCUAUAGAAGAUUUACAACAAAUUUGGCCCUCUGAUUCAAUGAUUAGGUACCAUGCUCAGCUUCUUCUUGAAUCUAAACCAUGUCUUAUACAAAUAUUGUAUAGGUAAUUGUCUGAAGUUAUAUAUUUCAUCUUUCAAUAGUAGCAUCCUUGCAGGAUGGAAAAAUCUAUUCAGAAACUGUUUACAUAACUUAUGCCAAAUAGUGAUUAAACCUCUUGGAAGUUCCCCUAACCAUAGUGAUGCUUCACCUAUCAAUGAAAAUAUGAACAACUCAGUCUUAAGGAUUCCUGAUCCACCCCCAGAAUAGUAUAUGAUAUGCAGAUCCUAGUAAAAUUAUCAAGAUACAUGUUUGCAUCAUUAGUAGUUGAUCCCAAAAGCACACCCUUCAAAUUCAAUAAUUAGAUCAUACUGAUAGUAAUAUCAAACUUCAUAUUAGGUGGUAAAGUAGAAGGAAUGAUAGCUCCUACCUUGGUAGGUUCAAUAGAACCCAUAUCCUCUUCAUUCUUAUAUGGGUACAAGUGUUGAUGUGUAGGAAUCUAUAGAGAUAAGCCUCUCUAAACUCUAUCUUGAUGCUUAUCUAUUUGACGUGAUCUGGCUGGUCCUCCUUACUGAACUACUCCAAUCUCUUCAGCUAAUCGGGCCUCUUCAACUGCUUUUCUCUUCCUUAGCAGUAGUUAUUAAAUGUUGCAUCUAUAAAUCUAUAAUAUUCUAUGGAUCAUUUGGAACCCAUGGGAGUGCCACAUUGGGAUCAACAGGUAGAGAGGAAGGAACUUGAACACUAGUAGGAAAACUAUCACAAACUUGAGCUGACAUCCUUCUCAAUGUUUAAAGAAUUUAUUUAGGCUCUAGAUCAAAAGGGAGUAAGGGAUUGCCUCUUCUCCUCCUUUUUGACAUAUACUAUCAUAUUUCAAAUAAAAGAAAACAAAAAAUAAAACCCACAAACUUCACCAAUUCAAUUAUUUACUCAAAUUGUCUUCUCUAGUAACGACGCCAAAAUUUGAUAUCGCCCAAAACUAGCCUCCAAAAGAAGUAUGCUGCAGUCGAUGCCAAAUAUAGUAACCCAACUAGGUUGGGUUUGAUCCUAUUGGAAAAUUUUGAAUGGUUGUGUAACUUGAUGUAAUCCACAAGCAGCACAGGAAAGUAAAUGAGGAAAUUUGAAAGUAACUAGUAAGUAGUAGCCGAAUCUUGAAUGUUUUGAUUUUUAAACAAUAUAAGAGAAACACUAGGUUUGUAUUCCCCCUGGCUUCUCAACUAUAUAAAUUUGUCAUGUUCAACCCACCUAUUCUAUAGCUCUACAUGUAAAGUCAACAAGAUAUGUACUAUCAAUCUUCUUGUGAACAUGUUGAUAAAUCUCAGCAUUUACCAUGUGAAUCUCAAGGUGUCGCCUUAUUUCUCCUUGUCUAUAACUUUAGUUCAACUUUCACCUUUUGAGAGUCAACUUGAUUAGAUGAUAUGAUGGAAUGAUACUAAGAUGGAAGUGAAUCUCAAAUUAUUACUUAAUCCUCUUUUCCUAAUCACAAACUCCUUGUGAGAAUAUUUAUAUAUACAAGCUAUUCCCAAGCUUCUGUAGUAGCUCUGAGGUCAAUUAUUGUAAAGAAGAUUAAGAUAUAUGCAUAAACCCUAGAAUAGAUAAAUCUCACACUUCCUUUACAUAGCUAAUCCACUAGGGUUCCCACAACACUAGUCGAUGAAAUUAGCCACUCAUGUUUUUGCAAGAACUCAUGAUAAUCAAGAAAGAAUUCAUGAAAUUAAUUACACAAAGAUAUUCUAGAUGAAUAAAAUCCAAAGUCUUUAAUUGAAUAAUAACCCAAAAUCUCAAGAAUAAUUGUAAAGUAUGUAAAAUUAGUAAGAAUGAGGUUAAAGAGAGUAACCUAAUAAAAUAUAAAUCCUAGGAUAUUUAUAGUAUCAAAAAAGUACUCAUAAAUCCUAAUAAAAAGGAAAAGUAAUGUCGGCACAAGGUACAAAUUUUUCAUCCACUCUUAAGGUUUUCUUACAAGUUGUACUGUGCCUCUUGUAUCAAUUCCAGUGUCUAAUCAUCCAGGCUUCAACUUUUUGUUCUUCUUAUGACAUCUGCUCAGGAGUCUUACCUUCACCAUACAACUCGUAGACUUCACUCGUAUCCACCUGGGAAUUCUAUCUUUCCAUGCUUAGACACUAGUCUGCUUAGUGUUGGAUAAUACGAGUUGUACUCAGACUUCCAACCCGUAUUAUUCUGAGACUUCAACUCUGAAUUUCUUCCUUUGUUUCUAUUCUCUUUACGAUUUUCUAAUACGACCCAUAUCCUCAUAUUAAGACUCAGAUUCUCCUAUAGUAUCUUCUAUACACUUAGCUUCUGUUGUGUUUACAAGUCAACCUAUGAAUCGUAUGAUGUUUUGACGACUCAUAUGGUGACUUGUAUUUUCUCCAGUCUUAGUCCUUUUAAGGUCUUUUCUUCUAGUUUCAUUCUUACACUAUAAUAGACCUAUUUCACCUUCAACAAGCAAUAAACCACAUCAUAUCAACAAAAAUAACCUAAGUACAGGCAUAAUUUCAUUAUUUUAAGCAUCAAAAGUGUCGUGUUUCUACGACACAUUAGAGACCAACCCCAUACACAAACCAUCACCCACCUUACACCCCACUUCGAAUAAAUUUUGAAUAGAUAAUGAGAUAUGCGCAUAUCAAGAGAGAAAAAAAGAAACCAUUAUAAUAAGUCUAUAACCAAAAACAACUAUUUACAAUGAAACAUCCAACCAAUACCAAUACCAAUGCCAGUAUCUAGACCGACACUGUCAAUGCCCAUAGUAGUCCAACAAAGUCUCUAAUCAAAACUAUAGAAUAUCCGAUCGGGACAUGGCCCGGCCAUAUCUAAAACUAAAAGCAAAGAAAUAGUAAAGUCAUAAAGUAAUCCAUAGGAUGAAAUGGAGUCCUUUGAAGUAUGGAAGCUUACCACUUUAGUCUAACUCAAAAAUUGUCCCUGAAUUGCCUAGUUGUUGAGUAGGAGGAGAGAAAGUAUGACCAAUUCCUGUAUCGUGUGGGGAUACAACGUCUGAAGGCGGUUAGCAGGGUGAACUCUAGCAUGAAACUCGAGAAUAAGGAUAACAUAAUGAUAUGUAAAAUUAUUCAAAUGCCAACACACAUAAUCAAAUGCAAAUACAUAAGUAUAUAUCAUAUGUCGGGAUAAGGAACAAGUCUUAACAUACUUUAAAAAAUCUUAACCUGGAUUGUGUAGUUCAACCUUCACAUAAUAGUACCCACAGGCUAUAUGGGCCCAAGUUAUCACCCCCUGGUCGGGCCCUAGUAUGUGUAGCCGCAAAAAUUGGAGAAUAAUCUUAUAUAUAUGAACAUAGGGGACUCAAACCCUAUAACAUAUACAAAGGUGAAUUAAGCACCCAAUCAUAUAAUGAUUUAUAGGGAAUCAUGAAAUAAUUAUAAAGGGGACUCAAAACUCCCUAGUCACUUUGACUCCCUCGUCGGCAAACACAGUUUCCAUAUCGGUCACUCAGACCUCCGCUUUCACGACUCAAUUAGACAACUCUUAUUAGAGCCUAAUUAAAAUAGUUGUCACACAUUCCCAUUCAAUGAACUAUAAUACCUAUUUAGUCAUAUAUUUUUUGUAUCAUCAUACCAACUAUACUUUCAAGGUAACACAUCAUGCCAAAACAACUUCCCAUUAACUUGGGGAGAACAACUCCCUUUGCUCAUUAAUACACAUUAGGGAAACACCGACUCCCUUUGUUCAUUGAAUCAUACCAUUGUAUUUCAUAUAAUUCUUUAUAUCAUGCAAUAGUUUAAGAUGUUUAAUUAUUAAAGAUUUCCACAGUUCUCAUAACUUAAACAAAUUUCACAUUAUGGGGUUGGGGUUAUAACCACUUCAGAAGUCACAAGUUUGGGAAAAUCACAAUUCCCUAGCUCAUUCACCAUACCCAUGUACCCACAAGUUCAAAAUCAUAUUCAAAGCAUGGAAAAUUAUAUAUAUAAACCAUUGGAAACAUCGUUCCACUCAUAACUUUCAAAACCCCCCAACAUUUAUUUUCAAAACCCAAAAUAAUAACCUUGUGGAAAACACUCUAAAUCACAUGUGUUUUGGAAAAUUCACAAUGAGGGAAGAGUAAUAUUACUUAAUCACCAAGAAGUAUGGAGACAAAUUACCCUUGAAAUCCUUAAUUGAUCAACCUUUGAAAACCAUAAGUGUUCUUGACCUUGAGGAUUUAGGAGUGUUUUGAGAGGUUAUUCGAUGUGUUUCUGAUUGCAAAUGAUGACCUAAAGAAGUUAUAAGAUGUAGUUUUUAAGUUGGACAAGAGGGGAAAUUUCCAGAAUACCCUUCACUUAAAAGUUGGAAAAAACCUUCUAUGGUUACGAGUUAACCCCUUUACUCAUACCCACACCUUACAACUCGUGACCAUGAGUUGUAACCAAGACAAUGACUAGGACCUCAAUAUACCACCACCUUACGACUCCACCAACACACUCUUAAGGAGAUUUUAUGACUCAUAAGUUCUAUUUAUAAGUAACACAAAACCAAAAAGAUUUGUACACUGUACAUCCUAAAAUUUGAACCUAUGACUCAUACCAUAUCCUUAUAUCUCAUAGUGAGCCACUUGUACUCAGAGCAGAACCUUGCUGCUAAGUUUCUGAUUUGGUUACGACCAGGGUCCUACAAACUUUAACCAAAUGUCAUGACUUGUCAUAAUGAGUCGUGACCAAGACAUUGAUCCCAAAACUCAAGAAUUUUCAAGGGCAAAAAAUUUAGGGCAUUACUAUUUGGGAUGUUAGUGUUGAGAGUCCAUCGCUUGACUCUAUCCCAAUUAUUUAUGAGUUUUCUGAUGUGUUUCCAACUGACCUACCUAGCAUUCCUAUUGACCAUGAUAUAGAGUUUAUUAUCGACCUUGAGCCAGGAACCCGACCUAUUUCUAAGGCUCUAUAUUAUAUGGAUUUUGCUGAGUUGAAGGAGUUAAAUAGUCAUUUUUAGGAUCUUCUAGGUAAGGGCUUUAUCAAAUUGAGUGUCACCAUGGGGUACUCCAAUUCUAUUUAUGAAUAAGAAUGAUGGAUCUAUACAUAUGUUUAUCGACUAUAGGCAGUUGAAUAAGGUGACCAUGAAGAAUAAGUAUUCUAUACCUUAUAUCAAUCAUUUGUUUGACCAAAUUCAGGGUGCAACAAUGUUUUCUAAGAUAGAUUUGAGGUUUAGUUACCCUCAUAUGAGAGUUAGGGCUGCAGACAUCCCUAAGACAACCUUCAGGACUUAUUAUGGUCAUUAUGAGUUCUUGAUUUGGGUUGACCAACGCUCCAGUAGUUUUUAUAGAACUGAUGAAUGGCGUGUUCAGUCCAUAUUUAGACUCUUUCAUGAUAGUAUUUAUUGAUAACAUGCUAGUAUAUUUAAGGAUUUGGGAAGUGAACAAGCGGUAUUCGAUGACUAUGCUCCACAUUUUGAGAUAUCAUUAGCUUUAUGCCAAGUUUACAAAGUACGAGUUCUAGAUUAAGUCUGUAGCUUUCUUAGAGCACAUAGUGUCUAAGAAUGGUAUUAUGGUGGACCCAACGAACAUUGAGGAUAUUUGUAGUUGGGAGAGGCCUACGUCACCUAGUGAGGUUCACAGUUUUGUUGGGUUAGCAGGUUACUAUACUUGGUUCAUUAAGGGUUUUUCUUUUAUUACAGCCCCUAUGACUAGAUUGACCAAGAAGGAGGUUCAGUUUUUGUGAUUUGUCAGUUGUGAGGCAAGCUUUUGAAGCUUAAGGAUUUGCUUGCCUUAACUUUCAAAUGCUUCAGGCUGAGGGUAAGGUUUUUACUAUUAUUGUAAUGAGUCUAGAAUUAGUUUUAGGUGUGUUUCGAUACAGAGGAGUCGUGUUAUUCCAUAUGCAUUGAGGCAACCAAUGUUGCAUGAGUGCAACUAACCCACUCAUGACUUAGACUUAGUAGCGGUAGUGCUUGUGCUUAGGAUUUUGCAAUAUUAUUUAUUUAGGGUUUGCUGUGAUAUAUUUACUAAACACCAUAGUCUGUAGUAUAUUAUGACCUAGAAGGAGCUUAAUUUGAGGCAACAUAAAUAGAUUGAUGUCACGACUUGAUACUACCCCUAGUUGUAACACAGUGCCUAAGUGACCCUAAGCUAACCCAUGGACUAGCAUACAUUAGAAUAAUGAAUAAAGUAAAAAAAACAUUGGGUGGAAGCUAACUAAAAUAAUCACUGAAAACCAAGAUAAUGUAAAACUGAAUACCUAAUAAAACUAGAAAUAUAACAAAGAACUGCCUGAUAACCAAUCAUGCUGAAAAUAAAUACAUUUAUCUGAAAGCCUCUACUCAUAAUGAGUUAUAGGGGAAAGCUCCCAGUAAUUCCAACUGACUAAAACUAAAAUAAAUUGACAAAAAAAUAAAGAACUAAUAACUAGUCCAUGAAUAAGGAAGAUUCACCAAAGCUGUUUCUAAAUAUGUAUGGGAAGAUUCUAAGUACGGUUCGAGUACUGAGCGUCCGAACCUAUAUUGUGGAUAAUAUAGCAAAGAAAAGUUUUCAAUCAUUACUUUGAAUGUAUUGAGUAUGUGAGAUGGGAAACUAGUAACAUAAAUAGAAUAUGAAUGCAUUAACAUGUAAACUGAAUGCAAAACCAAGUAAAAACGUGUUUUGAAUAAAACUGAAUACAGAAUAUCUAAAUACUUGGUCAAGCAAACCUGAACUGAACAUAAAAUAAACCUAAACUGAGUAUUGUGGGAACUAACAAUAACCAACAUAACCCAAUAUGAACAAACCUAGGGUCUAAAACUAUAACCCCAGUUGGAAGGGUGCUAGUACCUUGCCAAGGGUACCAACACUAGCUGGCGUAGCUCUACUAAAUUGAUGUCCCAAAGGACUAGGGUGUAAUUCCUCUAUUGGGGGUGAUUGUUAUAACCUAUGGUGGUACUGUAUUUCUAGAACUUAGGGACAUCUACUAAAUGUUAAUCCUCAGCUGGCCAGGUGAUCCUUCAUCCCUACGUUUACUCAGUGCUAAGUACAACUCCUAACUGAAUGACACCAAAAUUCAAUAUAUAUAUAUAUAUAUAUACAUACAUGUGCAUAGUCUGAAAUGUUCAAAACAUAUCAUCUGGUUCAUUCAUGAAAUCUUAGGUAUCGAGUAUUCAUAAGCUACCAGCUUUGUCUAAUGCAAUGAAAUCAAUAAUAAUUUAAAACUAAUCAUAGUAGAGAAUUUCACAAAACAUAUCCCAAACUCAAUAAUUUGUCAAUAAUAAGGAAUUCAUGAUGGUGAGUAUAGGAAGAUGUAACUCCAGAGGAAAACAUGUACUCAUGGUUAAAUUUAAAGUAAAUUAAGUAACUUGUAGAAAACUUCAUAUUUGAACUGGAACCCAAACCUUAGGGGAAAGUAAACUUGAGUAAUUAGAAACUUUUGGCACUCAAUGGGUAGAAGGGACAUAUUGAUGAAAAUCCACAUACCUGAAGUGGAAACCUUGGAGAAAAUCUUUGAAAUCUGAGCUUGUUCUUAAGAAACCCUAACUUGCUUUUAGAGAUGAGAGAAUUAUUUCUUUUCCUAUUAUGGAUUGGCUUUAUGAUUAAACGAUGAAUUUGGGUAAGUUUAGGCUUAUAUACCACUAUUGCGGAAGACUAAAAGACUUAGGUUAGAAGCUAAUAAAAUGGAAAAAAAUAAACUACCCUUUUUAAAUCAUACAAGAAUUUUUUAUUAGUCACCAUGCCUCGAGUAACGAUUGGUCAUGAGUCAUGGUUUGAGUCAUGACCUGAGGUCCUAAGUUUUGAAUCUUUUCAGUUAUGAUAAUGACUUCCCUCCUAAUGACUCAUUAGGUUUGAUCAUGGAUUGUUAGAAGAAGUCAUGGUCAGAGACUUACUUUUUAAAUUUUCUUUUGUUGUGACAACGGGUUUACCUAAUGACUCAUUAGGACUAGUAAUGAGUCGAAUGCUGGACUCGUCAUCACUAGUCUAAAAUUUUAAAUCCUUCAUUAUUAUGGAAAUGACUCCAUAGAAUGACUCAUUAUAACUGAUAACGGGUUAUUGCCAAAGUCGUUGUCAUUGGGAGUUGACCAAUCUUAAGGAAAUUUUCCAUAACUUUUUGCCACAAUAUUAGAUUAAAAAGAGAGUAGUGGCAUUGAAAAUCUAAUUUAAUGGUAUAUCUUCUGAUGGGACUAGAUCUUGAAAUUUUUAGGGUAUUACAAUAGAGUUGCUGAUGGAAUAUGAUAUCUUUUUUCUUUAUUAUCCAAGAAAGGUAAAUGUGGUAGUAAAUACCUUAAGCUAAAAGUCAGUUAGUAUUGGUAGCUUAGCCUUUAUUUUAACUUCUUAGCUGCGGUUGGCUUUGGACAUCCAUUACUUAGCUAACUUGAUGCUUUGUCUGGAUAUUUUUAACCCUUGGAGGAUCGUUGCUAGUGUUGAUGCAAGAUCUACCUCGUUGGAACACAUUUAGGGUCACUGGUUUAAGGAUAGUAGCCGUCAUAGCAUUUGAGAACAGGUGUUAAAGGGGUGAGUUUAGGAGGGUUACCUUAGAUUCUGAAAGUGUCCUAAAGUUUAAAAGUCAUAUUUAUGUUCUAAGGAUUGGAGAUUUGGUUCAGUUGAUUCUUCAUAAGGCUCAUAGCUCCAAAUACUCUAUUCACCCUAAGACAGUUAAGAAGUAUAGGGAUUUGAGAUAGCAUUACUGGUGGAGUGGUAUGCAGAGAUAUAUAGUAGGGUUUAUGGUACUCAGUGCCAUUAUUGUUUGUAGGGACAGGACGAGAAUAGAGAUCCAGUGGAUUGCUAAAGAAGCUACCUAUUCUUGGGUAGAAGUGGGAGCGAGUUAUUAUGGAUUUCAUAGUUGGACUACCUCGCAAUUCCCAUGGUUUUGAUAGAAUUUAGGCAUCAUUGAUCGAUUGAUAAAGUUCUCAUAUUUUAUCCUCAUUCAAGUUUUCUACACUGCCAAGAGUUUAGCUCGUGUUUAUAUUUAGGAGGUUGUUUGCUUACAUAGGGUACCUUUUACCAUUAUUUCAGAUUGAGGCUCUAAGUUUACUUCUAGCUUGUGGUAGAAAUUUCAGGAAGUGUUGGGUACGCAGGUUGAUCUUAGCAUCACAUUUCAUCCCCAGACUGAUCGGAAGUUGGAUUUUGGGGUUUACUGGGACCAAUUUUUACUUUUGGUGGAGUUUGCUUAUAAUAAUAGCUUUUAUUCGAGUAUCUAGAUGGUACCAUUUGAGGCAUUGUAUGAUAGAUAAUGUUGAUCUUCUAUUGGCUGAUUUGAGACUCUAAAGGCUAGGCCUCGUGGCAUAGAUUUUCUUUAUGAGUCAUUCGAUUGAGUUUGAAUGAUUCAGGACAGGCUUCAAGUAUCUCACAGUAGACAGAGGAGUUAUGCUAACCAUAGUAGUCAUCCAUUGAUAUUAAAACUUGGUGAUAGUAUCUUUCCAUAAAUAUCAUCCAUGAAGGGCGUGAUGAGGUUUGGGAGGAGAGGAAAGCUUAGCCCUAAAUAUAUUAGACCCUUUGAGACCCUAUAAAUAGUUGGGGAGGUAUCAUAUAUGUUGGCAUUGCCUCCUACCUUCUCAGCCUUCCACCUAGUGUUUUAUGUAACUAUUUGUGACAGAUCUAAAUGAGUCGACCGUGCUUUGGUGGGACUCAAUUAAGUUGGAUGAGGGGUUGGCAUUUGUAGAGGAACCAGAGUUUAUUUUGGCUAGAGAUGUCAUACAGCUAUGUUCCAAGGACAUUCAAGUAGUUAAGGUUCAGUGGCGUCAUCGUCUAGUGGAGGAGGCUACCUAGGAGACUAAGCAUGAUAUGCAGGCCCAGUAUUCCUACCAUACUAGGACAUGGAAUUAAGUUACAAAACCAUUGACUUAUCCCUUUUUAAUUAAUAUAUAUGAAUGGUUAAUUAAACUUCUUUUAUUUUUAUUUAGGUUCAACAUAUACUUUAUUUCUGUCAUUGAUUGUUAAUUUUGGUACCACUUUGGCAUUGUUUAUGGUAUGGUUAUGUAAUGACCUUUAGGUCAUUCUCGUGAUUUUACUUAUUAUUGUUGUUAGAGAUUUUCCAUAGCCACCCUUAGUCAUUUAUGACUUUCUAGGAUAAAUAGUUUGAUUAUCGAGAAGUUUAUUUGGUUUUUAGAACCAUUUCCCUAUUAAGAAGUCUUUGUUGGUUUCAAAAGUCCAUCAAAUGAAAACUUUAGUAAAACAAUAUCGGAUACAAAUUCUGAAUGUGCUAGCAAUUCUAGAAUAUUAAUUUUAGGUUGGGUAGACCAUUGGUUUAGGUCUUGCUGCACCCAAACUCAUUUUGAGUUAUUGGUCUAAUAGCUGAUAAAUUUGAACUUUGGGUAUGGGGCCCACAUUAGGUUGAAAUAACCUUAGAUGGAAAAUUUGACUUUGCCAACAAAUCGCGAACGUUGAUAUCAGUGUGGUUACAUAUUUUUUUUGCUCAUAUUGGACUCCGGAUGCAUCCUAAGGCAUUAGUCAAAACUUGGAAUCAAAUUCAAAGUUUCAACUAUCAUUUUAUGCAUAAAAGUACCAUGAUCACGGAGACUUCAAAGAAAUCGCAAUGCUACAAUUAUUGGUGCGUGAUUACCCUAUCUGAGUGCCUGGGAAGGGAUUAUUUAAAUGCUCCUUUGGAUGAGAAUUGGCCAUUUCUCCACUAUCUUGAGACCCAUAAACCCUAAGAGAGUGUGUAGCCCUUAAAUUGGAUCUUGGAUGUUGAUUGGGAGCUUAAUUAACUUGCAUAAUCAUGAUUAACAUCAAAUCUAAGGUAUGGAUCCUUCUAUUUUAGUGUUGAAUUCUUAAUUAUUUGACCUAAAACUCUAAUUGGCUAGGGGGCAUGAUUUUAUCCCAAACAAGCUUGAUAGUCACUUGAUUAUUGAGGGUUAUAACUCCCUAACAGUAUUUGAACAAUGGGUUUAUCUCAAAAAUUUAUUUUCUAUAUGUGGGACCCACUUAGGGGUUUUUAAGACGUUUUGGACCUAAAGCAUAAUAGUGCAAUAUAGGUGUAGGUAUUAUCAUAAUAAUGCAUAGAUUAUGUUUUUGAUAGCUUAGCUCCUUAAAGAAGCUUCGAGGAAAGGGAAAACGAAGAUUGUUUGUUUAUGAACUAUAUUUUGAUUCGAGCUAGGUUAGGCUUACUUUUGUUAGAUUGAGCUUUAUUAUAGUAUGAGAUUAGUUGAACCACUUAGGCUAUUGAGCUCAUAAUAUGUGAUACUUGACUUAUAGUCUAGAAACUUGGUUAGUUGGACUUGUUAUCACAUGAAUAGCAUGAGAAUGCUCUAGUUACUCUAGUUAGAGAGGAGUGAACUUGUUCACUCAUCUUAGGAGUAAGUUGACCUAGAUAUGCACAGUUGUGAAAUUGGCCUUAGAUGCUUUGGAUGACUUCAGAGUAAUCUCAAGGUAGAAUAGUCCUAUAAAAUGAUUGUGGAUUGAUAAACCUUUAGGAUAUAAUUUACACAACUUAGUCUAGUUCUUCGUAAAAGUUAGACUUGAAGAUAUAACUUGGCAUAUUAGAAGCGGAACUUGACCCGCCUUAAGCUUGAACUAUGUAGCUUUAUUAGUGACCUAGAUAAUUGUUAAAUGCCUAGAAUAUGCUUUUGAUAAUAUGAUAUCUAGAACCGGUAAAUGGUUUAUACAUGAUGUUGAUUUUGGAAAUAAAGUACAUACUUGAUGGUAAUCUUAUUGUCAUCACUUGGAUAGCAAUGGAAAGUCUUGUGAAUUGAACAUAAGCCUAUGUUAUCACUUAACUUAUUGGCUAGUUUACUAUGUAAGCCUUGGAUUAUGUCAUUACUCAUAUCACGUUCAAGCCUAGUGACUAAACUUAUGUUUGUGUAGAAGAAUCCUUUUUGUGCUAGUAAUGUGAGUCAUGCCAAACAAGAGAGAUUCUAGAAAGUAUAACCAUGACUUGUAAUUGACCUUGCUAAGAAUUAUGUCAAGCCCGGUAAUGUAUUGAGUGUUUAUACCAUGUGGAUAUCCAUGUUUAUGCACGUACUAUUAUAAUGUAUUGAUAAUAAAUGGUGAGGUACCAUGAUAGGUUAUUCUUUAUCACUCUUACACUCUAUUGUUUGUGAGGCUUGUACUUGUUAUUGAUUUGGCUACAUAUCUAUAUAUAUUGAUUUCAUGAUAAAUAUUGAUGAUAUGGUGAUGUACGGUGAAUACAGAGGGUAUAUUGAUGAUAUAAUGAUGCCCAUUACAUCUGGAGGACAUACUGAUAUUAUGAGGAUGCCUAGUACAUUCGAAGGAUAUAUUAAUGUUAUAAUGAUGCCUGCUACAUCCAGAGGAUAUAUUGAUGAUAUAAUGAUGCCUAGUAAGUCCGUUGGAUAUAUUGAUGAUAUUAUGAUGCCCGGUAAAUUCAGAUGAUAUAUUGAUGUUAUGAUAAUGCCCAAUAUGUUCGAAGGAUAUAACGAUAAUAUUAUGAUGGAUGGUAAGUCCGGAGGAAAUAUGGAUGAUAUGAUGAUGCUUGAUAAAUUC